GACAAGUCAGUGGUGUGUCACAAACAGAAGUACCCAUUCGCCGUGUUCUACUGCCACAAGGCGAUGAUGACGAGCGUUUAUGCGGUUCCACUCGAAGGAGAGAACGGUCUGCGGGCUAAAGCGGUUGCGGUAUGCCACAAGAACACCUCGGCUUGGAACCCAAACCACUUGGCCUUCAAAAUGCUUAAGGUGAAGCCUGGGACUGUUCCGAUCUGCCAUUUCCUCCCUGAGACCCAUGUUGUUUGGUUCAGCUAUUAGAUAGAUAUGCUUUUAUAUAUUGUGGGCUAUGUAAUAAAUAAUAAUGUUUGACGCACUCUAUUAGAUAGAUAUCUUUUGGAAUAUAUACACAUAGUAAGGCGUUCUAUAUAGUCAAAGAAUGAAGGCAUCUUAUAUAUGUGUUUCAGUUUUCCCUUUACAUAAUUUUUUUUGUGGCCUGAUUUAUUCUUGUUGUUUUGCAAGAAUGUACUGUGUAAUAAAACUAGGCUUCAAAUAUCAAAACAGCUCGUCUGUAAAAAACGGUAAUGUUCGUAAUGGGCCCAAAUGAUAAAAAGAAGAAGAUAAUGUCAGAAGUGGGAAUUGAACCCACGCCCUCUCACGAGGACCAGAACUUGAGUCUGGCGCCUUAGGGCAUCUGCAUCGGGCGUCCCUUGGGCCGUCCCUUCUUCUUUAUUGGGUCGAAAAUAAUUCAAAAUGAAAUUAAAAUGGGUGGGACGGGCCGUAAGUAAGGGACAAUCGGGCUCGUCCCGAAUGAGACGUGGCAACACGGUAUUGGGCGAUGGAAACGACGAAGGGACGGUCGUAUCGGUUCAUUCGCAUUCCGGAAAUUGAAAUCGCAAAAUCCAAAAAGGAGAGCUCGAUGGCGACGAAGUGAAGCAUCGAAUCGAAGAUCGAUCCUUUCCAAACGAAAGCGAGGACCUGAUCUCCUCACUCCACCUGCGUCUUCUCUCUUCCACUGGAGUCUCCGUCGGCGCAAUCGAGAGGUCGCAGCUUCCAAUCGAGAGGUCGCAGCUUCGAAAUCUCAAUCCACUUCCGUUCGAUUCCGGUCCUGUACGCAAGCUUCUUUCCUCUCCAAAUCCUCGGCGAAUCGUCCCAAUCUCGUCAAGGUACCGUCUUCAACUCGUAGAUGAAAUGGUUAGAUUCUAGGGUUUGGAAUAGAAUAAAGCUUAUUGAUUUACAUGGUUCGAUUGUAUGAUUUGUAUCCUUGUAGGUUGAGAGAUUGUUUUCUUUAGAUUAUAUGCGUGAUUCGUAGCUAAAAAACAGCCUCCGUUAAAAACUUUUGAGGUUAGAUCCUGUAACAAAAUAGGUUGAGUGAUUGCUAUAUUUACAGUUUGAUAUUAACGAAAUAGUUUGUGUCUCUUUGGUAGUCGGAUUAGAUCCUGCUCGUUUUGUUUUGUGCUGUAGUUUAGUUUUCUUUCUGCUAUAGUCUGAAUCUUGCUUCGUAAUUCUUUUUGCCUUGCCAUAGUUAUGUUUCUGCUAUCAUCUAUCUGCCUUGCCUGAGUUUGUAAUUCUUUGAGUCUUAGUUUUGUGAAACUUAGCUUAUUUGCUAUUGUUAAAGACACUUGCGUGUAUUUGAAAGACACAAGUUAGGAAUUACUGCUUAGUUACAACUAGUCUAGUUAGUUUGAAACCAAAUAUCAUUAUAUUAAUGAUGUAGUUAUGAAUGUUAGAUAGCUUUUCUCUUCUGUAAUAAGUUUGGAUUAGACACUUCUUGUUCGGAGUUAGCCAUUUAUUUGCGUUUGUACUUUGUAGUCCUCAUAUGAUUGUCGAGGAUGAACGAUCGUCAAUAACUCAGUACAACAUUGCUGAAUUUCGAGAAAGAGAAGAGGCGGAUACCUUUACCGUCAAUAAUCCGUCACCUCUCGGCACUACACUUGAACGUCGGACGAACCUUCGGUAUCUAGAAACCCAUCAACGUUUAAAAAAUGAUUUGAUUGAAAAUAUAUGGAAUAAAUUUGGACAUCUACCAAAUAACAUAUAGUUUCUAAGUUUCUAUUUGUAUUGGAAUAAAUGUUUGUUUGUUUUUUUAAAUUAUGAUAUUGUAAUUUUCUUAAUAUUUCAAUUUUAAUGUUAAACUUCUAUCAUAUAAGUUUUAUUUAAAACUUCUUUAGAUAUGUUAUCACUUAUUCAAAAAAAAAAAUUAAUUAAAUAAUAAACUUAGGGACAAUCAAAAUCCCACUAAUAAUUCACUUAGUCCCUUGGCUUAGAUCCCUUAAGAUAAAAGUUUAAUUAAAAAUGCUAAGGGACUUGAAACACAAUCCCACCGUUGUUGUUGCCCUUAGACCACUCGGCCACCCUGACUGUUGCAAAUGAUUUGUAGUUACAAAUAUAUAUAAUAAACAUAAGUAGAAAUAAGCCAAUGAAAGAGACUAAAACAUCUUGGAAUGACCACAACUGAAUCAACAUAGACAUACACAAAGACACUUACAUGACCAUUCUGCUCCCAAGUCCUAGACCCUCUUAACUAAUCAAAAACCUGGUCUAUCCACCAGCAUCCAAAAUAGACGAAACGAUGUUGUCUCCUAUAAAAGCCUUUAUCACAUCCCAAAACAUUGGUUUUUAGCAGAGAGCUGAGUUCCUAGUCACUCUUUGUCUCAGCCUGUUUUUGGCACUAGAGUUCCACAGUACAUGGUAGGUUUCUUAUACUGUAGUAGCAAUUCAUGUAACGUAUGGCCAAAUAUGAAAAUAUCUCCAUCUCUGGUCCACUUAAUCUCAAAACGUAGUUUGAAUUAGAUACCACACGUUGAGCAAAAUCCUUGUACAUUUGCUAUUGUUCUUUUUAACGAAAUUUUCACUUGACCAUAUGGUGUGUGUAUGAUGAAGUCAUCCUACUGAAUAUCACCCACUUGUAGUAGCAAUGUAAAGCUAAAUACAAUACCAAGCCAUUGAGUCUCUUCUUUGACAAAAGCUUUACUGAAGUGAGCAAUUUCAUGACAAGAUAAAAAAGAGUAUAUAUGAGUACCGCACCGUCUUAGACUCGGUUGCUGAGCAUGUCUAGAAUAGUGUAAGCAGCUUUCUGAAACUGUUCUUUCUCUUCCUCGAGCACCCUCUUCUUCUCCAUUGCAAACUCCUUCGAUCUAUCAAUCUCUUCCUUGAUUCCCACAGAGUUCCCAUCGAUCUCACUGCACCAAUAGAAAAACGAGGCAGCACUGAGCAGUAGCCAUGAUAGUUGUGCGCAGACACAACACAAGAUACUUACUUGACGAACUUGAGCAUAUUCUCCAUCCCCACCUGAACCUGCUGCGACAUUUCUGCAAAUUUCAACGUAUCAGGAGAUUCAGGACCAACAAAAUCUAUACGCAUUGUCAAUAGAGAAACAUUGACUUGUAACCUCAGUCCAACCACUGAUCCAAUCCCAUCAAAAAUAAUGAUAAACCUUCAAAUGGAACUUAUAUGUUUGUCUUCUCAUGCAAUUGCAUAAACCAAAGGGAUAUAAAGAUAGUGUAUCGAGCACAAGCAUAAUCUGAAUAACAGUUUAGAAGAGCAACAAAACUGAUCAAGGCAACGUUAAUGGCAAUCGUUCAUUCUAAUGAUCAAGCGAUUCCGCCAUUGAGUAAGCACAAGAACAAACGCUAAUCCAAGUUUUGAUCAAGCGAUUUCGCCGUUAAAUAGGAACAAAAUCGUUAAAUACCAAGUCAUGGAGCAUUUUGAUUUCGUGAUUUUCACAAAGGAACUCGCGAUGACUCCUGCUGAUUCCUAGGUCACUCGAAAUUUUGAAAGUAAAUGAAGAGGAUUAUCAGGAGAAGGGAGUAAACAAACCGAAUACGAGAGAAGCUAGAUCCGAUUCAGCUUGAUGAGCAACAAGCUGCGCACCACUCUGCGACGGUGAUUCCGCCAUUAUCCUGCGCUGAGUGAAAGAGAUUAAUUUCGUAGCUAAGCAAGAGAAGAGGUUGAUUGUGUAUUUACGAGGGAACAGAUUUGUUUUGAGACGUGACUGACUAUUGGGCCUAGGCCCAUUUAGAUACUCAAAUUCACUGUCUACCAUCCGUAGUCACUCUUUAAAAACUUUUGCGAUAUUGGUGAUAUAAUACCAUCUCUGACCAUUAGAAAUUAGAAAUCAUGUAAAGUUCUAAAAAAAUAAAAAUAUUCAUAUUUUAAUUGUGCAAUUAAAUUUAAUAUUUUUUAAAUCAUUAAUAUGUUAGUUAGAUGACACAAAAAUGUUUAGAAAUGGUUAUAAAACAAAAGUUUUUAGAACUUCUUUUCACUCUCUCUCUUAAUUUUUUUUUUUAUUUCUUUAAUUUUAAUAGGAAAGUUCCAAUCGAAUAACCUCCAUUGGAAGUGGUCUAAAUUUCAAAGUGAUGAUCAUUUAUUUUAUCUUUUGAAAUAAAAUGUAUAUAAACGUUUGAAUUUGAUAUGUUGCACAAUUUUGCUGUACACAGUAUAUAGUGAUUUCUUGUUAAGCUUUUGUAAACUGAUGAUCCUGUGUUUAUUAUAUAUACACUAGAUGUAACUCAUAAUGGUUUUAGUUUGCCAUGUAUUUCUUCAGAUCAUUAACGAAUAACUCAAGAGUCGGGACAAAGGAGACAUGUUGCAAUGGAAAACAACUAGAGCUUAUUACAGAACACCAGCUAACAAGGGCCCAGCCGGUUAAUAUUGAAGAAGAGAUGAGACUCGAGAGACUGAGCCCUCAGGUGAAGAAGCCAAUGACACUAUUGACUCAAGUACAUUGCUCUUAAAAUGCAUAUGAUAGCAAACCAACUUUCAAAAGCCUCUGCUUCAGCCUCGGGUUUGGCGAGUGUUGUAUGAUUUGCAGUUUGGGCAUUUCUGAGCUACCACAUGGUACUGGACCUCUGAUUUUGUCCCACAGUCGUUGCAGAGGAUCUGAACCUGUUUUUUUUCCCAUCAAAUGAUUCAAUUAUAUAUAAUCUGAUGAUUUUGAAUUCCUUACUUGGUUGAGCCUGAGGUGUAAUAAGAGUAAUUUUAGACUAACCAUUUUGUUCUGGUAUGGUUCUGGCAUUGGUGUAGCAGCAAUCUCCACGUCAAAUUUCUCCCACACCUUUGACAUGUCGCAUACAGAUUUUGAGCAAAGCGGGCACGCGUAUCUGCAGAGCACAGUUUACAGUGUUGUCAGUUGAAAGACAGUUUACAGUGUUGUCAGUUGAAUAACAAUCCUGAGUUAUUUAUUAUACUUACUGGUAAUGUUCUCUCAUUUCCUCCAAGCACUUCUGAUGGAUGGUGUGUCCGCAGGGCAAAACUGUUACAUCGUUCCUUGAUUCAAACAGGUACUACAACAAAACCAGUAUUGCCGUUUUGUUUUAGAGGGAUGCUCAAUUAUACCGUGGUGAGAAGUGGAAGAAAAAUUGAAAGAAAAGAUACCUCAAAACAAAUGGGGCAGUCGUGAUGCAUUGCUCCUUCAACACAAGGGUGACUGUUCUUGAGAAGGAUUGAGUAACAACAGCCUGGUUGAUAGUCAGAUUGUACAAGUCAAGAGAUUUAGUGGUGGCCAGCGUAAAAAGUUCGAGGCUAUCUGAUGCAGAAAUUGGCUUACCACACUUGUAACAGUGAAAGAAAUUUUCAUGUCCGCCGAUUCUGGAACAAAAGAAGUAAAAAAGUUCACAAGUUAUGAACAAAUAUCUAGCGUGUUAGAGUGAACCAAUCUUGUUGUAUGUUAAAGACGAGUCCAAGAACGUACCUGCAUAUUCCACAGCCGUCGCAGUGAUAUUGUUUUUUAGAUGUCUGGAAACAAGAUAGAACAUAAUGGUUAACCAGCAGUAAUAGAGAAGCCUGGAAAAUAGUCUGUAGCAGAAAGAGAAAAUGAUCCAACAAUCAAGCUUAGGAAUAAAUUGACUCAGAAAACUCACAUCAUCAUCGUAGAGCUUGCAGGCUUCACAGAAGUACUUCCCCAUGCACACUCCGCAGUUGGUGCAAGUUUGGCGAACCUGGUGAAGACAGAGAAAACAGAGUUAAAUCUUCAAUAGAGUUAAGAAAAUGUUUGAUACCAUCCUAACUGAAACUUCUCAUUACUAAAAGCAGUAAAAGUUCAGAAAAAGCAUAGAGUUAGAACUUAGAACACACCUCUUGUUCAGUGCCACAGAGUGAGCAAAUAACCUGUGAAGAAGAAGAUAGAGAUUCUGGAAUCAAGCAUAAAAGAAUAAACAUAGAGAAAACAAGGUAUUACAAACAACUUUACCUGUUCAACUUUCUGGCGAGGAAUAUCAUGACUCUGUUUCGGAUCUACACUUAUAUUGUUCUGCUUCCAAGACAUGAUGAUUACACAUGUCAGCUUACAAAUCUUGAGAAAAAUAAGAGUGAAAUCAAAAACCUGAAGUAAGAAACUCUACCUUCGCCUCAUUAUGACAGUGAUGGCAACCAAAGAUCUCAUCACAGCAAGGAGAUCUAAUGCAACACCUUCUUCUGUAAUGAGGACAUCUGCAAGAACAUUGGGAGAAAUUAAUUCAAGAAACACGCUCCGAACUGAGGGAAUUCAAUGAGGGAGCAAAAAUUACCCAUGUUCCAUUAGUCCUCUGUCAAGGACUUCUUUUAAUAAUGACUCUGCCGACUCGAGUUCGAGAAUCAACGACUCAGUUUCUUCAUUGCUUGAAUGAGGGCUGAGCAUCUCACUCUUCUCUCGGUCAGUCUUCUGGGGUUGCUCAACGAAAUGGUUGAAAUGUACCCCCUCCAUUACGAACUAUCUGUGAAUGAUACUGGCUAGCUGAUGGAAAAGCUUAUGUAACCUGCAAGCAAGAAAAGAUUUAGAAUACAUAUUCAUCAUUUCCAAGUAAUAUGUCACCUGAAAAAACUCGAUGAACUGUUGCUUCCAUCUACAUUGCAGUAGACCAAUCCAAUCAUCACCAAGACAAUCCAGUUACGAAACGGCUCCAAUAAGCUUUCUCCAAGAGGCAAGUAACAUCAAAACAAGAAGAUUUACAAAUUAUAAAAACUAAACACAGCCCUCUUGGUUGAUGGAGCCUUCGUACAGAAAGAAAAGCUUAGCUCACUUCAGUUCUUGAAAUCUGGGAAAACAUAUCCGGUUUAAACCGGAUAUCCCCAACCUAUCGUAAAAGCAAGGUAAAGACUAUCAAACAACGUUUGGGACUGACGUAAAAAAAUUGGAAUAACCGGGUUAAAAAAGAUGGGUCGGUGUCCAAAGAGGACAGACCUACCUCCCAUUGCCACUCUGCACCAAUAUUACUUCAGUAUGAAUCAGAAUUUUUUACUAAAGGAAUUAAAAGCCUGAAGAGAAUACUCUUUAGUUAUCCAUCUUUGAAUCUGGCCUGAAGGAUGUACCAGCAACCAAAGGAACUAAAAAGACACGAGAACAUUCUACUAAGUUCACAAGCUCCAAAUGCUCUAAGGGAAACUUUAGAUAAUAAACAGAGAAGGUUUAGGAGUUGCAUGAUCAAGGGAAAUAGGACGAAGAUAGCACAAGCACAAGUCUGGGUUAGCGAAGAGAAAGAGCAACACAGGAAGGAAAUGUUUCCCAAGAAUCAAUACUUGUAGAUCCAAGGCUCUCAGACUCACCUUGAAUCUAUCUCUGAGACACACAACAACUCCAAAGAUUAUUCUCCAAGAAGCCUCCUUUUGCUAACUCAAAAGACUGACUCAUGAGCACGGUUCACCAAAUCCAAACACGUGUCAGAUGGAUUAUUAACCUAUUUUUGCAUUACCACCUAGAUUCUUCAAAGUCUUUUCGUAAAACUAUAUACAGAAACCCAAUCAAACAAAGCUAAAGCGUAUGGGAACAAUCAAUCACCAGAGAAGGGAACGAACGAACGAAGAAUCUAAAUCACGGAAACCUACAAAAAGAUAAAUUAAAAUCACACACUACGAAAUAGAUCACGAACUUUCGAUCAGGCGAAUCUCCUUCCACCGAUUCGAUAGUCUCAGAGAGAGAGAGAGACGCUGAUGAGUUCUCCGACGGUUACUCCAGGAGCUCCGAGCGAGAAGCGAUUCGAUCUUCCUUUCAGUUAAAGAAACUUAAUGAGGACACCUUCUUCCCCCCGCGUGUGGGGUUUAUAUACUGAAGGCUUGACUUUUUCCAGAUACUUCGAAUUAUUGCCGUUUUCCGGCGCAAGCGAAAAUAUUUGUUCCUUUAAUUAUUUUUUAUUUGCUUUUGUGUGUUGACAGCUAAAAUAUCUAACACCAUUCAUUUCCAUGAUUCCCCCCAAGUUUUAAUAUCUUACCUCAAAAUGAAUAAUGUGGAGAGAAAAAAAAUACAUUACACAUGUCGCCAGCUAUUUUUCCAAAUGUGUAAUAAUAUUUAGAUUUCCACAACUGGAAUCAAUUAGCACAAUCUUUUCAACAGUUAAUGAAAAGAUUGCAUUUUUCAUUCUCUGUUUUUUCCUGUUCGGGAACGCGCUAGGCGCUAAUCGAACGGUCGGGUUGGACCUAGCGCAUAAUGAGAAAAUCGAAAAAUAAUCGAAAAUUAUGCGGAGUAGGAUUUUUAUAUUGUUUACUAUGUUAUAAAAUAUGUUAAUCUUUAACUGUAUAUAAUAUUUAUACAAUUUCAUGCUUAAGAUUGUAUACAAAUAGAAUAUAAACUUAAUAUACUGUAAUUUUCAUCAAAAUUAUGAAUAUAAAUGAUAUUUAUAAAAUUUUAUAUCCAAUAAAUUAAUAAAAAUAUUAUUAAAAAUAAAAUAAAAUAAAAUAAUAAAAAAUAGAUUAAGCAGCCGCCUAGACGGCUAGGCGGUCGCCUAAACGGCUAGGCGGUCUAGACGGAGAAAAUCAGAUAUCCGAUUUUUUAAAUCCAUUUGACAUAAAUCGGGACGGAAGAAUGACGUUUAGCGCCCAGGCGACCGUCUAGGCAGCUAGGCCGUCCAUUUUUAAAACAUGGCUGUUUUUAGACGAAAAAAACGUUUUUAAAAUAAAAAUAUGUGAAUGAACUGAUAUUUUACAUUAUUGCGUGGGAAAGGUUACUUUACGUGUUGAACUUGAUUAACUUAUUGCGGAGAUGGGGAUGGUGACGUGGCUUCUGAAUGAUUGGAAAUCCUUUACAAGUUUGGAUUCUGAUUAGUUUACGUAUUUACAAUACAUUCCCCCUCAAGCUUAUCUUUUAUGAUGUAGACCCGUUAUCAACUCUUCUUGUCAAUCCUCUCCACUAAUACCAAUCACAUUUCCUUCUUUUUUUUUUUAACACAAUACCAAUCACAUUUCUUCCAUCUCAUUAAAAAAUAAGUAGAAUUCUAUAGUUUGGGUGGUAAAAACCGCAAUGUAUUUUAAAAUUAAUAGUGUUAUUUGUUUAAAUUUCGUGUGAUGUCCUAAUAUAAGUUUAGGAAUUCACACAAACGACUACUUGUAGUUUUGGUAUACUUACACAAUUUUCUUUGAGAAUUCGGUCAAAAAAAACCUUAACUUUGCACGAAUUACCAAAAGAAACAUGAACUUUUGGGCUGACCAAAAAAACACCAAACUUUCAUUGACUUUAGAAUUAAUUAACAAUGUUUUCGCUGACUUGCCAAUUUAGCACGCCGUCAACAAAUUUAACAAAAAUAUUUGACGUCGUUUAUGGUAGACAUUAAGUGAAACGACGUCGUUUUACAUGAUUUGAAAUUAAAAAUAUGUAGACCCCUGGAUUCGAACCCAGGUUGUUUGGUCAAAUGACAAGGUCUUUUACCACUAGGCUAGUGGAACUUUCAAUGUACUUACUAACAUGUUUACUUUUAUUUGGUACUGAUUGAUACUUUGCCAUUUGAUCAACCAACCUGGGUUCGAAUCCAUGGGUCUACAUAUUUUUAAUUUCAAAUCAUAUAAAACGACGUCGUUUCAUCUCAUUUGAAAACGACGUCGUUUCACUUAACGCCAACAAUAAACGAUGUCAAAUAUUUCUGUUAAAUUUGUUGACGGCGUGCUAAAUUGGCAAGUCAACGAAAACAUUGUUAAUUAAUUCUAAAGUCAAUGAAAAUUUGGUGUUUUUUUGGUCAGCUCAAAAGUUCAUGUUUUUUUUGGCAAUUCGUACAAAGUUGAGGUUUUUUUUGGCCGAAUUCUCAAUUUUCUUUGUAUAUUUGUAUUUGAAUUGUUAAAAAGGAACAUAUAUAUUUUCAAGUACUUUCUUAGAAAAGAUAGCGGACUUGCAAAUUAUUUAUCCUAUUUUAUAAGAAUUUGAAAUUAAAUAAGUAUAUAUUUUUUUUUUUGAAACACUAUAUGGUUUUUUGAAAUUAAAUAAGUGUUUCAAAAAAAAAUAAUAAUAAGUAUAUAGUUUAUAAAGAAUUUCUCAUUAUUUUUUUAUGCUUUACUCAAUGUUGGAAACAAAGCAUAUCAAAUAUCCUAUUGUUUAUUACUCACUAGGGGGUGUCCGCGCUUCGCGCGGAAUAUUGUUUUAUUAUUGCCAAGAGCAUGAUUUUUUUUUUGGAUAAUGUAAUUAUGUUAUCGUUUUUAUUUGUUAAGAUCAUUAUUUGAUGUUUUUAGUUUGUUAUGUAGUAGGUGAUAAGUUAAUAUAUUUUGCGUUUUUUUUUAAUAAUGUGUUGUUGUGUAUAUAGUACUUGUUAGUAGUCAAAUGAGCCUCCAACGUAAACUAAUAUUGAAUUUCAAUAACUUUGCAUCUACGCAUUUGUUGAUUCUAAGACUAACGGUUUCAUCGUCAAAAUUGUAUUAUAUUUUUUUCAUAUUUUUGAAAAUUAUAAUUUUUAAGAUGUUUUUUGCCCUCUCCCCAUAUUUUAAACUUGAGCCCUCACCGUCUAUGUAUUUCGUUAUAUUUCUGGUGUGCGGUGCUUCUCACAAUCACCGAAAAAGACUCACAUUUUUCUCUUGUUCUUCUUGCCUUCUUCACCUAUGAGAUUAUAUGGUAUUUGUUGCAGAUCGGGUUUAUGAGUUUUCAGUUGUUCGGUUGCUUCCCACGGCAUUGUAGGCUGUUCCAGUCAAUAUUGAUUGCUCCUCUUCUUCCUUAGAUUUCAGCUGAUGUUAGGAAGUGCAUCUCCUUGGUUGGGUCAGAGUUUAUUCGUCUUUGAUUUUGUAUUCCUCGUCGUUGGCUUACCGUCAAUAGUCUCUGCUCGUUUUGGUUUUCAAGAUCUAGUUUUUGGUGUUCUGACUUCUAUGCUCUCUUUCAUAGCGUGAGGACGGCUCCAUAGUUUUCUGAUUUCGCUCUGUCUCCCUUUCCCUCUUUAUUCUUGCAUCUCUUUGCAGCUUUCAUCGCAUCUCUGGUGGCUCUCCCUUUCACCAUGUUUGCCACUCGAGAUUUGGAUAAUGUUUUCGUUCGUGUAUGCUAUGUGGGCUUGGAAGGUUAUUUCUGGUCUCAAGUUUAGUCUCUGAUUUUUUGGUGGUUGUCUUCCAUUCUCCCUCUCUCAAGUUGUUUCUUUUCUUUCCAUGUUUUCCUUGGUAUAGGUGUGCGGAGUUAGUCUCUUGGAGCUUUGGUCCCCUCUAUGCAGAGCUUUGUGGUUUUUCAGUUGCAUGUCGUCUUGUAUGUUCUUGUUUAGUCUGUGAGGUGUUUCUUACUUUUUAGCUACUGGUUGUGAUUCCGGUGUUUUAGGCAUAUAUUUUUCUGUUUUUUGGUGGCUUUGGCCUUUCGAUUAUUAUUAUCCCUUUGGCCGGCUUUCUUAGUUUAUGUGUUGGUUGUCUAGUUUCUUAUUCUUAAUUUGAUUAUCUUAUGAUACUAAUAGUGAAAUACAUAUAAUUUGUAAAUGAAAUAAUAAAAAUUAGUAAAAGUAAUAAAAUGAUGAAAAGUCUUGCUAUUUUUAGGUGUGAAUAAAUUAAAUAUUUAAAAUAUAUUUAUAUUAUUUUAUUUAUUUCUUGAAUUUUAGAGACCAAUAAGUGUGAGAAGAAUUAGAUAAUACACAAUUAGAAAUUGAUGGAGAAAAUUGCAAUAAUUUAAAUGAAGAAGAAUUUAAAUACAAAAAAAACAUGAGGACACAUGUCAACAAACCCCCUUUCCACAUGUCAUAAGAAGAGAAAAAGCCAACUUAAUAUAUAUAGAUUGGUUUUUUUGUUACACUUGACUUGUUCAAACUAAAUAUCCGAUUUUAUGGAUGAAGUAGAGAUCAGAUAGCAAGGAUGGACGGGUAAUGAAAAAUUGUGCCCACUGCUAUGUAAAAUGGUACAAAUGAUGUUUUUGAGUAAAAUUUAUUUAUUUGGAUAAAUGGUUUAACUCAGUCGAUCUCAUGGACCGGUGGAUUUGAGAUUGGUUUAGGGGGAACCGGAGAGAGAUGUUCAAAUUCCCUGCCCUUUUUGUUCUGACAGAGAUACGCCCAGUCAGCCAUUUAUGAGUGGCCGGCCACGUCACCACACUAAUAACCGGGUCAAGGAUAAGAUAAUGACGUUUCCAAACAAGGCCCUACCGUGAUGCGACCUUCAAGUAAACGCUCGUUCUUUGCGAUUCCUCCGCUUACCAUAUAAAUACAUAAGAUAAGUCCAUUAUUGACAGUUACGAUCGUCUCUCUUCUCCAACGCUUCUGAUCUCCUCUUUCGUUUCUGGUAAGCUCGUUUUCUCUCCAUCGUUUCUGCUUCUCCGUUGACUACGAUUCUCGACGCGAUCGCAGCGGUGGCGCAUGUUCGUGUUCUCUUAGAUUUGAAUCAGUUUCCUUAGAUCAUACUUUUGCGAACGAAGAACGUUUCAGUUUCUGUGUAUGUAGUGCCUUGAUUUGUGCGAUCUUUGUUGAUGUGAUGAUAUAACUGAUCGCGUUUGAUCGAUCCAUGAUGCCAGAGGCUAGAGAAUAGUAGGUUCUCGGCGUAGAUUAGUGUUGAUCCAUACCUAAGGCGUGCGUUAACAAGAGAAAGCUGAUCUUACUAAUCUGUAACGAUGCCUUGUGAUCUUGGCCUACAUUGAUUUUGAUUGAUUGAUUGAUUGAUACCUAAGGGCGUUAACAAGAGAAGCUGAUCUUAUUAUAUCUGUAACGAUCAUCUCUUUAUGAUAUCAAUAUUGAUCUCUUGUGAAUUGUGAUCUUCUUGAUUAGUAUUUUGAGUUAGCAAUGAAGCCAGGAGGAUCAGGAUUGAAUCCAAACGCAGCAGCUUACGUACCAAUCUCCAAAAGAGACGGUGAUUCUGCAAAGCCUGCUGCUGCUGUCACACAUCCCUAUGCAGCUGAUGGUUAUGGAGUUCAAGGAAAGGGAAGUUAUCAAAUGUACAUGCCAAAGACGGCUACAUCCUCUGAGAAGAAGAUGAGUGAGGAAGAUUUGGAGAUGGACGUGGACAUUGAGUUUCUUUUAGCCACGUUCUCUGACUUGUCAUAUGAGUCUAUCAGUGAUGUGUACUUGGCCAACAAUGGUGAUCUGGAUGCAACUAUCGAAAUGCUGACUCAGCUCGAGGUGAUUCAUCUCACUAGUAGAUUUGAUUACACUAGUGUAGAUUGUAAAGCUUAAGCUUUGUUACAAUUGAUGUUCCAAUUUCUGCAGAUUUUCAGUAAUGAAGCCGAGGAGUACCUCCCAGACACACUGGACAUUGGCGAUGUACCUGAAACCAUCGAGCCUUCUACUUCAUCAGCUCCAAAGCAGACGAAUGCAAGUACAUCAACAUCCUCCCGUACCCCAAACGCUCCCUCCUCCUGAUUUGAUGAGUCUUUAAAAUGUGAGGAUUAAGAAAAAAACAUUCUUGCAAUGGAUGAUGAUGAUGAUAUGAGGUUGAUGGGUUAUCUUGGGAGAUCUCUUUACUAUGUUUUCCUUCCCCGCUGCUUUGUUACAUUGGAGAAAAAGAGAGAGUACAAUGUAUAGAUUUUUGAAAAUAUCAAGUGUGAGUGUUGAGAAUUGGGAUUGUUCUUAUGGUGGACAAAGCUAUGAAUCAUUAGCCACUGAUGAUGCUAUUUUGGCCAUUUUGAGUCUUUUCUCUUCUUUUGCUCAUUGCGCUGCUCAGUAUUUUUGCAUCUUCUCUUCACCACAUGUAUGACUUAUGGAAUUGAUUUUGUUCUUUGGUAUAUUUCUAAUGUUUACAUCCAUUAACUAUAUCUUGACAAUGUUUAAUGUUGUAUAGUAUUUUUUUCUCCCAUUAAUUCAAGAUUUUAUUAAGUUGUUAAAAGAUGGAAUCUCAACAUUGUUUGUGGGUCUGUAACAAUUAAAUGAAUAAACGUGCAGCUACAUUUGCGGCCCUCUUCUCUCUCUCUAAGUAUUAUUAUUAGAAUCAUCUAAAAAUACCUCCAUAUACUUGCUCGAUUUGGUUUCUUCUUCUUUCUUUUUCUCCUUUUUCAUCAUUCAUUUGGUGAUGCUGGAGAUCUGAUUCUUUUCUUCUGGUUUUUAGUUUUCGAGGAAGAAGAAAUUCAAAAUAAUAAUAAUAAAAAAGAUGGGUUUGGAUUAUUACACCAUAUUGAAGGUUGACAAGAAUGCAACGGAGGAUGAUCUCAAGAAAUCUUACCGAAAAUUGGCUAUGAAAUGGCAUCCUGAUAAAAACCCUACCACCAAAACCGAAGCUGAAGCCAAAUUCAAACAGAUCUCUGAGGCUUAUGAGGUAACUCCUUUUCUCGUUCCUAAUCUUGAUUCCCUUAGAUCCCAAAAUAUCCAAAACUGUGUGUGGAUAUGUCUUGCUGAGAUCCAUUCCUUUGACUAAUAAUGAGUUUCUUGGGACACAUGCAAAAUGUACCUCCUCAAAGCCUAUUUUCUGAGGCAAUGUUUCAUUUGUGGGAAAACAUUUCAGGUUCUGAGUGAUCCUCAGAAGCGAGCAGUAUAUGAUCAAUACGGUGAAGAAGGGUUGAGCGGUAUGCCGCCUCCCGGGAGCACAGGAAACAAUGGAAGAGCAGGCGGUUUCAACCCUAGAGAUGCAGAGGACAUAUUCGCAGAGUUCUUUGGAAGCAGUCCAUUUGGUUUUGGUUCAGCUGGUGGUGGUCCUGGAAGGUCAACAAGAUUCCAAUCAGACGGAGGAGGAAUGUUCGGCGGAAACAACGGUAGUGAGAACAUGUUCAGGACUUACAGCGACGGCACUGUGCCUAAGAAACCACCACCCGUUGAGAGCAAGUUGCCUUGUAGCCUUGAAGAGUUGUACACUGGAUCGACAAGGAAAAUGAAGAUCUCUAGAACCAUUGUUGACGCUAACGGGUAAUCCUUGUUUCCAUAUUUUGGAGGUUAUAGAUAUUUAAUAAGAAUUUUAGUAAAAAUAAACAAUUAUAAAUUAUUUUAGAAAAAUUGAGGACCAAUGCCAAUGUUUUACUGGACUGUGUCCGGGCCAUGGAGUCUCUCAUUAGUGUGUUGUUUGGAUGGUGAAACAGGAGACAAGCGCAAGAGACAGAGGUUCUAACCAUUGUUGUGAAACCAGGAUGGAAGAAAGGGACCAAGGUCAAGUUUCCAGACAAAGGAAACGAGCAAGUGAAUCAGUUACCAGCUGAUUUGGUGUUUGUGAUAGACGAGAAGCCGCAUGAUUUGUUCAAGAGAGAUGGGAAUGAUCUCAUCACAAGCGCGAAAGUGACGCUUGCGGAAGCUAUAGGAGGAACAACUGUGAGUAUCAAGACGCUUGAUGGGAGGAAUCUACCUGUUGGUGUCACGGAGAUAGUCACUCCAGGGUAUGAGCUUGUGGUUCCUGGAGAAGGGAUGCCGAUAGCUAAAGAAAAAGGAAACAGAGGUGAUUUAAAGAUCAAGUUUGAUGUUCAGUUUCCGACAAGGCUGUCAACGGACCAGAAGUCUGCGCUCAAAAGGGUCUUAGUGGGUUGAAGAGUUGAGAUUUGGAAUCCUCUCAAUGCUCUUGCAGUCAUGGUGAUGGUACCUUCCUUUGUUUUUUUUGUUGUUCAUUAGUUCUUUCUGUGAAGACUUUGUAGCAUGUUCUUGAUGUGUCUUAAAAACAGUCUGUACAAAUCUUUGAUUGUGUUUGUUGCAUACUAUUAAACUUUAAACUCUUGUUCUUAAAUAUUCCGUUACUCAAAGGUUUACAAUUCUAUUAGCAUGCUACAGUAAAUAGAAGUCAAUAAACCUAACAAAAACAUACUAUAAUAUUAGAGAAAGGAACAAAGAGAUAUCCUCUGGCUCAAAUAUUAAUGACAUAAGUAGAGACAUAUGUUUCCACAUUCGAUAAGUUCAUGUUGCCACACAUGGAAGCCAUGGGGACUCAUCUUCUUUAAUGUCUGAAAAUGGCAUAUGGUGAAUAGGAGUUUCCUCCAUAUAGGUACAGAGAUACUCUGCUCCCAUAUUAAUGGACAUGAUACACCACAACUGUAUGCAACAUUCACUUAAAAAUCUUCAUGGCAACAGAUGGAUAGAGUUUUGUGGUUAAUCUUUCAACUGUUAAGCAAAGGAGGAGAAAUAUACUUGUGGUUAACGUGGAUUCCACGGCACACGCCGAUUAAAUAAAACGGCCUAAUUCAAAUAAACAAGGCCCAAACUGAAUACGAGCUUUGAUAAUAAACGGGCCUUGGCAUUUACUUAGGAUACCUCAUUAAUGAAUCCAACGGUUGUAAUCACGUGUCAGUGUCUUUACCAGACGGACGCUAUAAUUGCAUGCGAGUUGUUAAUUAAUAUUAUUACCAGAAAACAAAACCGCUGUUUUCUUCGAUAAAAUCAAAAAACUAAAUUGCCCAGAAAAUACCAUCAUUUCUCUCAGCAAUCGAGAAAGUAAAAAAAAAACAAUCAAUCAACACACUGUUCCUUCUCCUUCUCGAUCCAAACUCUUGUUUUAAUUAUUCUCUCUCGUAUUUUUUUUUAAAAAAAAAUCGAAACUACUGUUUCCUUUCACCUCCCAGAUUUGCUUUUUUCAAAUUUCCUCUCUAGAUUUCAGAAAACUUUCCUCUUUUGUUUAAUCAAUCUUAAGAGUCUCUACUCUCUCUCUCUCUAGACUCUAGGAAUGUUCGUGGUUACUGGAAUCAUGAGAUGAAGAUUUGAAGAGAAAGCAAGUAAUCAUUAGGGUUUCCGAAUCACCAAAAGUGUCAACCUUUUGUUCCGGAUCUGUGGUUCUGUCGGGGGUGAAGAAUGUUCUGUCCUAACACAACAUUUUGAUCUCUCUCUCUCUCUCUCUCUCUCUCUUUCGAUUUCCAUCACUAUGUUCAAGCAGUUUCUCAGUAAGCUUCCUCGGAAGUCCUCAAAACCCGACUCCACCUCGGAUCCAUCCGGAUCCAGCGUUGUCAGAUCCAACUCCGUCAAACGCAUGUCCUCCGCCGUCUUCCCCUCCAGCGUCGUCGCCGGAAUCGAGCCUUUGGUACCCUUCAAAGACGUCCCGACCUCCGAGAAGCUAAACCUUUUCGUCUCCAAACUCAGCCUCUGCUGCGUAACCUUCGACUUCUCCGACCAAACCAAGAACUCAAUCGAGAAAGACGUGAAAAGACAGACUCUCCUCGAGCUCCUCGACUUCGUAUCCUCCUCCUCCUCCUCCUCCGUUAGGUUCACCGAGCCGGCCAUCCUCGCGAUGUGCAAGAUGUCCGCCGUUAACCUCUUCAGAGUCUUCCCUCCGAGCUACCGAGAGAGAAACGAUAGUGACGAUAACGAUCCCACGUUCGAACCUGCUUGGCCUCACCUGCAGAUCGUUUACGAUCUGCUCCUUAAGUUCAUCACGUCUCCUUGCCUCGACGCUAAGGUAGCUAAAAAGUAUCUAGACCACGGGUUUAUCUUAAGGCUCCUCGAGUUGUUCGACUCCGAGGAUCCGAGAGAACGAGAGUGUUUAAAGACGAUACUCCACCGUGUCUACGGGAAGUUCAUGGUUCACAGACCUUUUAUCCGCAAAGCAAUGAGUAAUAUCUUCUACAGCUUCGUCUUCGAGGCCGAGAAGCGCGGCGGCGGCGGAGGAAUCGCCGAGCUUCUCGAGAUUUUCGGGAGCAUUGUGAGCGGUUUCGCGCUGCCUCUCAAAGAGGAGCAUAAGAUCUUCCUGUGGAGGGUGUUGAUUCCGUUGCACAAGGCCAAAUCCGUUGGGGGGUAUUUCCACCAGCUGUCUUAUUGUGUGACUCAGUUUAUAGAUAAGGAGCCGAAGCUUGGGAGCGUUGUGAUCAAAGGUUUGUUGAAGUUUUGGCCUGUGACGAAUAGUCAGAAGGAGGUUAUGUUUCUUGGGGAGGUUGAGGAGAUUGUGGAGGUGAUGAGUUUGGUGGAGUUUCAGAAGGUGAUGGUUCCUUUGUUCUUGAGGAUUGCUUGUUGUGUUAACAGUUGUCACUUUCAGGUAGGUUUCUUGCUUUCUUUUUAAGAGAUAUUGUUAGAUCUCAAUCAGGGCCGUCUAAAAUUAUAUUUUAGACCUUGUUUAAAAAAAAUAUUAACGGUAUAUUUAACUACUAAGUUUAAAAAGUAAAUAGACGUUUUUUUGGAAAUUAUAAGCUCUAAAUUUAGCUUUUUGAUCAAAAAUUUUGAAGUUUUAAACCAUAAUUUAAAAAAAUAUUAACGGUAUAAUUAACUAAGUUUUAAAAGUUAACAGACGUUUUUUUUUGAAAUUAUAAACUCUAAAUUUAGCUUUUUUUGAUUAAAUUUUUUGAAGUUUUAGACCAUAAUUUAUGUAUAUAUUUUUGAAAAUUUAUUUUAUUUUUAGAUACCGCUCCACUUAGAUGGCCUUGGUCUCAAUUUUGAAACUUGAACCGUUUGUGUUUUUCUUGUGGUUUAGGUUUCUGAGAGAGCUUUGUUCUUGUGGAACAACGAUCAGGUUGUGAAUUUGAUUGCACAGAACAGGCAAGCCAUCUUGCCAAUCAUGUUCACUGCCUUGGAGAAGAAUGCUGAGAGCCACUGGAACCAAUCUGUGCUGAACUUAACUCUAAACGUGAGGAAAAUGUUCUGUGAGAUGGACGAGGCUUUGUUCAUGUCUUGCCACGCGCGGUUUCAGGAGGACGAAGCAGAGCAAUGCUCUGCGGAGGAGAAGAGGAAAGAAACAUGGGCGAGGCUAGAGAAGGUGGCAAGUAUGAAGCCUGUAACUGGAAAGACAGCUGUUCUGGUAACUCCUUUAGCAACCUCUAUUGCCUGCUAAAUGAAGAUGAUGGAAUGGUUGUUGGUUAAGCUAUGGUCUGGAUUUGAUCUUUGUAAUGUUAUAUAGUUUUGAUGUUGUUAGCUUAUGUGGGUUUUAUGCUAAAUCUCUUGCUUUAAAAGUGAGGAAGCCUUGAAACCAUGCUGCAGAUUUCUAUAUGAAACUCUUUGUAUUCAAUUAAGUUUAUAUAAGAAGUCAUUUUCAACAAUGUGUUAUGUGUGUGUAUAUGAGGUACAUAGAGUCUUGCUACAGAAACAAAAACAUAGUUAUUGUCUUCAUUGUAGGCAUGCACUCGGGUUCGGAUAAUUCGGUUUGGUUCUAACAUAAAUCUUACCAAAUUUGAAAUAAAGUUUGGUUCGGUAUUCGAUUUUCAAAAAUUUAAUUUUUUUUUAUUUUGGUUAUAUUUUGAUUUAAUUUUGUUAAAAUUUCAGAUAAGUUUGGUUAAAUUCAAUUAGUUCAAUUAUUACGGUUUGAAAUGUGGCCAAUUCGGUUCAAAUUUUGGCAUAAUUUGGUCGUAAUUUUUUUUUUCAAAGAAAACCAAAGUAACAACCACUUACCAAAUCGAAAACUGAACAUUUUUUAAUAAAAACCACCAAUUCUAUUUGCUAAAGAAACAAAAACAUAGUUUUUAGUCUCUUCUUCACAAAACUUCAUAGAUUAAGGUCAUGUAGGAAGAACGUUUUCCCACGAUAUGUUAUGGUCUUUUCUUCACCUCCAAGGCACCACAAAUGCCCUUGCAGGUCAAGACUCUCCUUCAUCCCAGCCGUUUCCCACACAAAUUCAAAUAGCCCCAAGGCUCUAUCCAACUGCUUGAUCCCUCUCCCCAACAUCUUCUCAUCCCCUGAGGUCAAUACCCUCCCCAUGCUUAAGCUAAAAACCCCACUCUUCUCCUCCUUGUGAAACCCUCCACAGAGAUCAACUUCAAUGUCACGCACACGUCCGUAGAGAAAAUACACGAGGAGAGUGAACAAACACGGAGAAGGACUCCCCAACAUCUUCGAAAGCUUUCUGUAGACAAGGUGCUCUUGAUGCCUAACCUCUCUGAACCCAAUAGUGUUGUCCAGAAACACGUCUUUGAUCUGUAGAAGCCCUUCUUUCAUCGACAAAAGCUUCUCCAUAUGGUAAAAGUCAUGCUCUUCGAGGUACCUUCUCAGAUCGUUCACCAUGUCGAGAACAUCUUCCCACUUCGCAGAAGCGUUUGCCUUCGCGUAUCUACCUGGCACGGGACGCAUCCAUGAAGUCGAGCUCUCGUCUUCGAACGAAACCGAUGAUUCAGACAAGAACUUGAGGCAAGACAAGAUCACUUGCUGUCCUAACUUCGUCCCUUGCCUUGUUGUCUCGCUAUGUUCAACUUCUUCUUGGAGACCAUUCAGUAUAUCUUCGAGCGCACCUCUCCAGAUACGGUACUGGGUCACCUGUGAACACACCGUGGACCUCACUAGCUUCCUCUGUUGGGCCGUGAUGUCAAGAAAGUUGCAAACUUUGGUUAAUGAGUUCACCAACAAUGGCUCUCUUUCGGUUUCGGUGUUGAAGCGUCCGUGUUCUUUGAGCUUCUGCUGAAGUGAAGGUGACCCAACGAAGAUUCUAGCUAGAGAUUUGAAGGCUUGCAUCUUCUGUUUGAUGUGAUCAUCGUAGAUGAUGACGCCGUUGAUGUCUUCGAGCUUCCCGUCUACUAAAUCAAAGUCUUUUAGUGAACGGGUGAGUUUGGUUAGAAGUGGGAGUUUCUUUGAGUACCAUUCAAAUGGUAAUGAUUCUUUGUAGGAAUCAACAUGGAUUGAACGGAGGAAGCGACUUGGGUUAGCCCUUACGGUACCCAACAUUUGAAACAGCUACGAGCUAAUAUUCAGACAUUAAGUGAAUAAAUCAGACAAGAAAUGUCAAACUCUCUCUCUCUCUGUCUCUCUCUUGGGAAUUUCUACGAACAGUUUGUGUGCAACUCUUGAAGACGGGAAAAAUCUAAGAGACUCAUCAACAUGUAGGAUUUUCUAACUAGACAUUAAAGUUGUAGUGCAAGAGCAUCUGUAGCGUGAAAGAGAAGUGAAGCGAUUUGGGAGAAGAGAAGAGAAGCUUCAGAUGAGUAGAUAUGGCAAUGUCUGUGAGAGAGGAGAUGAGAAGUUGGAAAGCGAAGAGAGCAGGUUUUGGGUUUGGAUCAUUAAUGGGCCGAAGAAAUAAUAAUUUAAAAAGGCCCAAGAGCUAGUAUUAUUACGGUAUAUUUUUCUUUUUGUUUUACGUACUAAAACGUUUCUAAUAUGUUUUUUUUAUUAACCAAGAAACUGUAAAGUUUCCUCAUAAAAAUUGUAGAAUUUUCAUAUAUAUGUUUGUUAGUAAUACUGUAUAUGUAAUUAAAUCAUUUUUUUUUGUCCAAUUGCACCACCAUGCUUUCCAAAAACCAAGGUAUUACAGUUUCUAAUUUUGUAAUUCUUAAACCAGGGAAAUGGUCUUUUAAUUAUCUUUACUUUUGCUCGUAACAUUCUUAACUUUCCCACGAAAAUCAGAAUUUUGAAAUAUCCAGUUAACUGUUAAGCCUCUCUGUUGUCUCCUAAGCAUUACUCUGUGAGUCUAUCUUCCCCCUCCAACGGAUUUUCAGUUUAUUAAAUGAAAUUUCUGAAUGUUGUGAAGAAUAUAUAGUAUUGAUAUCUUUUAUCAAAAAGGAGAUAUAGUAUUUGAUCAUGUUUAUGUCUUUUUAUAUGAAGAUUUACGAUUUCUGAGUCCGAUUCCUCUUGACUCGUGCGGAUGCCUCUAUUGUUUUUAGUAGAAUUAUACCAUACAUAUUAUUUUUUUUGAUAAUCAAUUAUACCAUACAUAUUACAUACGGCCUUUAAAAGGAAAAAGCGUUUUCAUCCAAAUUAUUGAGAAUGCAUGGUCCUUCCAUGACAACUGCAUACUUUGCAUAAAGAUAUAUAUAAAUCAUUAGGAAGAAUGUGACAAAAAACAAAAGAAAGAGAAGCGAAGAAAGAAGGGCUUAUAAAGAUGAAUAUGCUUUCUUUUAUGUGGGUUAAAGAAAAAUUUUAUGCUUUCUUUUAUGUUUUAAAAACUUUUUCUUAAAGUUGCUGCAAUUUUCUAAAAAUUUACCAAUCUAUUAAUGUUUUUCUUUAACUGUUUUGUAAUGAUAAAUUGUUUUUAUUAUUGUUUUCAAGGGUAUUUGUAAAAUGGAUAAAAGGUCUUCUUUGAUGUUGCUUUUUGCUACAAAAAUUGACUUUAACAGUAUGAAUUCUUGUUUACUUCUUCCGUUUCUCAAUAAAUAUCAUUUUGACACUAUUCACACAGACUAAUAAAGUAGCGGAAAUAUAUGUAAAUUGUUACUAUCUCUGUUCCCGAAAGUAAGAUUUUCUAAAGUGUUCACGCUUAUUAAGAAUUCAAUAAAUGUUUAUAAUUUAUUUUUUCUUUUACUUUAUUAUACACUUUUCAAUAACUUUUCACCAAUGAAAUUUAAUCAAUUCAAAUAUUUUCAUUUAAUGUUUCUUAAAAGCAUAAAAAGUACCUUAAACAUAUAGAAAAUCUAUAUUUGUGAAACAAGUAAAAAAUCUAAAACAUCUUACUUUGGAGAACGGAUGAAGUAUUAAUUAAAUCUUUCCGACCAAUAGUAUUUGAGAUAAGUAAAAUUAUUUAUAAAACCAAUGCAGUUUGCAAUUAAUUUUCAGCUGAAAUUAAGUAUAAUUUGCAUUGUAAUUGUAAAGUGAAUUUUUUUAUGUAACAAAAAAAAGAUAGAAUGACACUUAUUAUGAAACAGAGAGUAUAUAACAACUGAUUUACACUUUUACUUAGAAUGGUUAUCGAGAAAAACGAAACACUAAGUGCUUAGUUUAUGUAUGUAAGUUAGUUACUCCCCUAAUUUAUGUUUAGUUAACAUGGAUUAUGAAACUGAAACUAUGAUUAAAGCUAUGUGAAAACAUAUAUGCACACAUCUAGUCUGACUCUUCCAAAUCGAAAAAGAUGUUUCAUCUGUAUUCUUCGAAAAAACUUAUAAAGCAGUGACUUAAUAUGACAAUAAUAUGUAAUUUAGUGACUGAUUAAUUAGGAAUAUCGGAGUAAUUGUAAAAUUACGUACUUAGCUAAGUUGUAUAAUAUGACUAUGCUAGUUAUAAUAAAAUGUGUUUUUACUAGCUAGCAUAGUCAUAUUCAUACAACUUGACUAAGUUAUAUGCAAUACUGUAUUCGAUUAAUACAAAUAAAACAGAUUUACUAUUAAGGAAUAGACCCUUUUUCUUGUCUAUAAUGCAUACGUAUGUUAUAUGUCUUAUCUAAGUUCAUUUGGUGAUAUAAUAACAUCGAACUUGGUCGAGCCUGUCUUAAGAAUGCUGUUUACUACAAAUCAACGGGUUCAAAUAGCAACGCAUGACAUGAAUGCAAUGCAUCUUAAUCGAAUAUAAUUGAUAUGGGUUUGGAAUUCAAAGUGGGAAUGAUGCAUACCUAAGACGUACUUUCACUUCACUAAAACCAAAGAAGAAUAAAAUGAUGAAUUAACUUAAAAGUGGGGAAAAAACGAAAGAUUCUUUAGUAAAAGCCAAUUAGUGCAACCCUUUAACAAAAAAGCCAGGCAAUGGAUUGUAGUAGCAGACAUUAAAGACGGGUUAUCUUCUUUUUUGACCAUUUGAUGAUAAUCUUAACUACACAACUCUACCAGGUCAAAUGACGACUGAAGAAUCCUAUGCAAAAUGCAACGUGUCUGUAGACACGUACCCACGCUUAUACUCACUAGAAUGAAUGGUGAGUAACAAACAAAUCUUCAUGUAAGGGAACAGUAUAAAAAUGCUCUGCCGCGAAACAUCCAUUUGUGACAUAAAUUCCAAAACGAACUCGGUGAGCUUGUCAUUCAGGUAUUUAGUGACAACAUAAUUAUUAUUCUCUGGUAACUAUUCAUAUUCUUAAAGAAAGGAACUCAAGAUAUUUUUCUUUUCAAUGUGGUGGUCAACUCAUCAUACCUAUAAUAAUAUAUGCUUCAGUUUAUCCCCCGUUGAAAAUUUCAAAUCUCAUGGUUAUUCACUCUCUUUUUGAGCCAUUGGAUUUUGAUGUGGUCCAUGCAUGCAUCUACUCAUUUCAAACACUUUUUCUUACUCAUUUCAAACACUUUUUCUUACUCAUUUCAAAUACUUGCUAGAAUUGUUGUUUGGUUUGACGUAAGAAUCUCUAUCCCUAGCUAUACUAAAGUUUAUAUAAGAUUAAUUGCAUCAUAUGAUUUGCAUACAAUUUGGAUUUGCUGUCGCAAAUCUCAUCGUCUUGUACGGUCAACAACUCAAGUGCUUCAAACUUAGAUGAGAAUCGACAUUGCGGGAUAAGAGAGUAAUAGUUUAUCAAAAAUAAGGAUGCAUUGAUUAAAACAAACGUACACAGUAGGAGAUCGAUAUCAGAAGUCAGAACAAAGAACUUCCGAUUUUUCUUAUUAGCUUAUAGUCUAAACAUAACCAGACAAAGGUCCUACGAAAUACGAAACGAGUCAAAUCGAGAAAGAAAAACACAAAUAACGACAAACAGGGUCGUUAUCUUGCUUCCAUUCUUCAGUAGUUUUAUCUCUUCUAGUGCAGGCUGCAUAAAAAAGCCAAAGUAUAUGUUAAAUACUGUUUCAAUCAUGAGGUCUCACGUUUUAAAAUUUAAAAUGAAAACUUGUAUUCACGUAAUAAAUUUAGACCCAAUAUACAUGGGGCACGAAACAAUAACUUAUUUUGCAUAUGUUCUGGAUUGGGUCUGGUUAGUUUCUAUAUAUGCCACCUUUUGUCAACGUAUAUAUAGCACACUAGCAUAUAAACCAUGAGAGAUUGUUGUGGCUUGAGAGUAAACUUUUGGAAUUAUUAGAAAUGAAAUUUAUUGAAGAAAUAACAAAUAACCAAAUUUACUUGAUCAAGAUGAUGAAGAAAGUUAGGUCUAGUAGGGUGGAUUGGUGGCAGGUUCCUUUGGGGCGUUGCACCUGAAACACUCUGACCUGCUUGCGAAGUUAUGUUCAUUGCAGCCUGACCUAUACAUACAAAACCAAUCAGCUUCUACAAUCUUCUUAUACAUAUACAAACAUGAAUGAAUAUAAAUACUAAUAUUCUAAAAUUGUCCUCUUAGCUUACGAAGCCUGCGCGCGCAUGAAUUUAUGUAUAUAUAUUAUUACAUGGUGGAGACGCCCAUGUACAUUUUCAUGAACCAUGCACAUGAAACAAACAAAUACAAAAAAAAAAAAAAACUUCUGCUGAAGUGAAGGUGACCCAACGAAGAUUCUAGCUAGAGAUUUGAAGGCUUGCAUCUUCUGUUUGAUGUGAUCAUCGUAGAUGAUGACGCCGUUGAUGUCUUCGAGCUUCCCGUCUACUAAAUCAAAGUCUUUUAGUGAACGGGUGAGUUUGGUUAGAAGUGGGAGUUUCUUUGAGUACCAUUCAAAUGGUAAUGAUUCUUUGUAGGAAUCAACAUGGAUUGAACGGAGGAAGCGACUUGGGUUAGCCCUUACGGUACCCAACAUUUGAAACAGCUACGAGCUAAUAUUCAGACAUUAAGUGAAUAAAUCAGACAAGAAAUGUCAAACUCUCUCUCUCUCUGUCUCUCUCUUGGGAAUUUCUACGAACAGUUUGUGUGCAACUCUUGAAGACGGGAAAAAUCUAAGAGACUCAUCAACAUGUAGGAUUUUCUAACUAGACAUUAAAGUUGUAGUGCAAGAGCAUCUGUAGCGUGAAAGAGAAGUGAAGCGAUUUGGGAGAAGAGAAGAGAAGCUUCAGAUGAGUAGAUAUGGCAAUGUCUGUGAGAGAGGAGAUGAGAAGUUGGAAAGCGAAGAGAGCAGGUUUUGGGUUUGGAUCAUUAAUGGGCCGAAGAAAUAAUAAUUUAAAAAGGCCCAAGAGCUAGUAUUAUUACGGUAUAUUUUUCUUUUUGUUUUACGUACUAAAACGUUUCUAAUAUGUUUUUUUUAUUAACCAAGAAACUGUAAAGUUUCCUCAUAAAAAUUGUAGAAUUUUCAUAUAUAUGUUUGUUAGUAAUACUGUAUAUGUAAUUAAAUCAUUUUUUUUUGUCCAAUUGCACCACCAUGCUUUCCAAAAACCAAGGUAUUACAGUUUCUAAUUUUGUAAUUCUUAAACCAGGGAAAUGGUCUUUUAAUUAUCUUUACUUUUGCUCGUAACAUUCUUAACUUUCCCACGAAAAUCAGAAUUUUGAAAUAUCCAGUUAACUGUUAAGCCUCUCUGUUGUCUCCUAAGCAUUACUCUGUGAGUCUAUCUUCCCCCUCCAACGGAUUUUCAGUUUAUUAAAUGAAAUUUCUGAAUGUUGUGAAGAAUAUAUAGUAUUGAUAUCUUUUAUCAAAAAGGAGAUAUAGUAUUUGAUCAUGUUUAUGUCUUUUUAUAUGAAGAUUUACGAUUUCUGAGUCCGAUUCCUCUUGACUCGUGCGGAUGCCUCUAUUGUUUUUAGUAGAAUUAUACCAUACAUAUUAUUUUUUUUGAUAAUCAAUUAUACCAUACAUAUUACAUACGGCCUUUAAAAGGAAAAAGCGUUUUCAUCCAAAUUAUUGAGAAUGCAUGGUCCUUCCAUGACAACUGCAUACUUUGCAUAAAGAUAUAUAUAAAUCAUUAGGAAGAAUGUGACAAAAAACAAAAGAAAGAGAAGCGAAGAAAGAAGGGCUUAUAAAGAUGAAUAUGCUUUCUUUUAUGUGGGUUAAAGAAAAAUUUUAUGCUUUCUUUUAUGUUUUAAAAACUUUUUCUUAAAGUUGCUGCAAUUUUCUAAAAAUUUACCAAUCUAUUAAUGUUUUUCUUUAACUGUUUUGUAAUGAUAAAUUGUUUUUAUUAUUGUUUUCAAGGGUAUUUGUAAAAUGGAUAAAAGGUCUUCUUUGAUGUUGCUUUUUGCUACAAAAAUUGACUUUAACAGUAUGAAUUCUUGUUUACUUCUUCCGUUUCUCAAUAAAUAUCAUUUUGACACUAUUCACACAGACUAAUAAAGUAGCGGAAAUAUAUGUAAAUUGUUACUAUCUCUGUUCCCGAAAGUAAGAUUUUCUAAAGUGUUCACGCUUAUUAAGAAUUCAAUAAAUGUUUAUAAUUUAUUUUUUCUUUUACUUUAUUAUACACUUUUCAAUAACUUUUCACCAAUGAAAUUUAAUCAAUUCAAAUAUUUUCAUUUAAUGUUUCUUAAAAGCAUAAAAAGUACCUUAAACAUAUAGAAAAUCUAUAUUUGUGAAACAAGUAAAAAAUCUAAAACAUCUUACUUUGGAGAACGGAUGAAGUAUUAAUUAAAUCUUUCCGACCAAUAGUAUUUGAGAUAAGUAAAAUUAUUUAUAAAACCAAUGCAGUUUGCAAUUAAUUUUCAGCUGAAAUUAAGUAUAAUUUGCAUUGUAAUUGUAAAGUGAAUUUUUUUAUGUAACAAAAAAAAGAUAGAAUGACACUUAUUAUGAAACAGAGAGUAUAUAACAACUGAUUUACACUUUUACUUAGAAUGGUUAUCGAGAAAAACGAAACACUAAGUGCUUAGUUUAUGUAUGUAAGUUAGUUACUCCCCUAAUUUAUGUUUAGUUAACAUGGAUUAUGAAACUGAAACUAUGAUUAAAGCUAUGUGAAAACAUAUAUGCACACAUCUAGUCUGACUCUUCCAAAUCGAAAAAGAUGUUUCAUCUGUAUUCUUCGAAAAAACUUAUAAAGCAGUGACUUAAUAUGACAAUAAUAUGUAAUUUAGUGACUGAUUAAUUAGGAAUAUCGGAGUAAUUGUAAAAUUACGUACUUAGCUAAGUUGUAUAAUAUGACUAUGCUAGUUAUAAUAAAAUGUGUUUUUACUAGCUAGCAUAGUCAUAUUCAUACAACUUGACUAAGUUAUAUGCAAUACUGUAUUCGAUUAAUACAAAUAAAACAGAUUUACUAUUAAGGAAUAGACCCUUUUUCUUGUCUAUAAUGCAUACGUAUGUUAUAUGUCUUAUCUAAGUUCAUUUGGUGAUAUAAUAACAUCGAACUUGGUCGAGCCUGUCUUAAGAAUGCUGUUUACUACAAAUCAACGGGUUCAAAUAGCAACGCAUGACAUGAAUGCAAUGCAUCUUAAUCGAAUAUAAUUGAUAUGGGUUUGGAAUUCAAAGUGGGAAUGAUGCAUACCUAAGACGUACUUUCACUUCACUAAAACCAAAGAAGAAUAAAAUGAUGAAUUAACUUAAAAGUGGGGAAAAAACGAAAGAUUCUUUAGUAAAAGCCAAUUAGUGCAACCCUUUAACAAAAAAGCCAGGCAAUGGAUUGUAGUAGCAGACAUUAAAGACGGGUUAUCUUCUUUUUUGACCAUUUGAUGAUAAUCUUAACUACACAACUCUACCAGGUCAAAUGACUGAAGAAUCCUAUGCAAAAUGCAACGUGUCUGUAGACACGUACCCACGCUUAUACUCACUAGAAUGAAUGGUGAGUAACAAACAAAUCUUCAUGUAAGGGAACAGUAUAAAAAUGCUCUGCCGCGAAACAUCCAUUUGUGACAUAAAUUCCAAAACGAACUCGGUGAGCUUGUCAUUCAGGUAUUUAGUGACAACAUAAUUAUUAUUCUCUGGUAACUAUUCAUAUUCUUAAAGAAAGGAACUCAAGAUAUUUUUCUUUUCAAUGUGGUGGUCAACUCAUCAUACCUAUAAUAAUAUAUGCUUCAGUUUAUCCCCCGUUGAAAAUUUCAAAUCUCAUGGUUAUUCACUCUCUUUUUGAGCCAUUGGAUUUUGAUGUGGUCCAUGCAUGCAUCUACUCAUUUCAAACACUUUUUCUUACUCAUUUCAAACACUUUUUCUUACUCAUUUCAAAUACUUGCUAGAAUUGUUGUUUGGUUUGACGUAAGAAUCUCUAUCCCUAGCUAUACUAAAGUUUAUAUAAGAUUAAUUGCAUCAUAUGAUUUGCAUACAAUUUGGAUUUGCUGUCGCAAAUCUCAUCGUCUUGUACGGUCAACAACUCAAGUGCUUCAAACUUAGAUGAGAAUCGACAUUGCGGGAUAAGAGAGUAAUAGUUUAUCAAAAAUAAGGAUGCAUUGAUUAAAACAAACGUACACAGUAGGAGAUCGAUAUCAGAAGUCAGAACAAAGAACUUCCGAUUUUUCUUAUUAGCUUAUAGUCUAAACAUAACCAGACAAAGGUCCUACGAAAUACGAAACGAGUCAAAUCGAGAAAGAAAAACACAAAUAACGACAAACAGGGUCGUUAUCUUGCUUCCAUUCUUCAGUAGUUUUAUCUCUUCUAGUGCAGGCUGCAUAAAAAAGCCAAAGUAUAUGUUAAAUACUGUUUCAAUCAUGAGGUCUCACGUUUUAAAAUUUAAAAUGAAAACUUGUAUUCACGUAAUAAAUUUAGACCCAAUAUACAUGGGGCACGAAACAAUAACUUAUUUUGCAUAUGUUCUGGAUUGGGUCUGGUUAGUUUCUAUAUAUGCCACCUUUUGUCAACGUAUAUAUAGCACACUAGCAUAUAAACCAUGAGAGAUUGUUGUGGCUUGAGAGUAAACUUUUGGAAUUAUUAGAAAUGAAAUUUAUUGAAGAAAUAACAAAUAACCAAAUUUACUUGAUCAAGAUGAUGAAGAAAGUUAGGUCUAGUAGGGUGGAUUGGUGGCAGGUUCCUUUGGGGCGUUGCACCUGAAACACUCUGACCUGCUUGCGAAGUUAUGUUCAUUGCAGCCUGACCUAUACAUACAAAACCAAUCAGCUUCUACAAUCUUCUUAUACAUAUACAAACAUGAAUGAAUAUAAAUACUAAUAUUCUAAAAUUGUCCUCUUAGCUUACGAAGCCUGCGCGCGCAUGAAUUUAUGUAUAUAUAUUAUUACAUGGUGGAGACGCCCAUGUACAUUUUCAUGAACCAUGCACAUGAAACAAACAAAUACAAAAAAAAAAAAAAACAAACAAUACCUGGGGCAAAUCCAAUCUCCAGAUUUCCAAGAAGAGCGGCCCAUGCCUCCGCCACCACCACUACUGCUACCAAAUCCAAAAAGGCCACGUCUUGGACCAUCACUCAAGUCCAUAAACCCGGUGGCUAGAGCGGCAGCCGAGCGUGAAGACUCAUCUUUUGCGGCACCACACUUGAAACAGCUGGACCUGCUUGCAAAAUUGUGAGUCCCGCAAUUUCCAAGGUUGCAGUACCAAUCACCGGGUCUCACGUCAGGCCCGGUAUUGAAAGCAAAAGCGUUGCUGAUCGGGCGGCUUGCGAAACUGCUGACUAAGUCGGUAAUGCUUCUCGGUCUGGGCUCUCUGCAUCGUUGGCAUGACUCCCUUCUUUGGAAGUUGAGGUGGCUACACGAUAGGCAGUUCCAGUCUCCUGGCCUAUUCAUCUUCUUCUAAUCCCCCAUAGAUAAACAAAUGACACAAUAUUAAAGGUAUAUAUAUUCACAAGUGUAGCCUAAUAUUUGAUGAUUACCUGGGGAUGUUAGCUGAAAACAGUAAGGAGAGUAGAAGUGAUAUUUUGGUGUUAGAGCGUAUAAGUGUGAUAUGUCCCCAUAUAUAUAUACAUCGGCAAAGCAAAAGGUUCUUCUUUAUCAACCGGGAACAUAUUUUGAAGUGAAAAUAGGGUUUCAAAUGGUUUUAACUUUCUUAUUUUUGUUUCAGCUUUAAUGCAUUUCCUUUAGAGCAUCUCCAAAAUGGAACUCUAUUUUGAAGUUUCCAAAACUUUAUAUUUGAAGUUUCAAUGUGUUCUUCUCCAAAAGUAAAACUUCAAACCUAACUUCAAAAUUAUUUAUAUUUUACACUAUGAUCCUUAUGUUUGUCAUAGUUGAUGUAAAUUCAUAAAACUUCUAUAAAUAACUAAUACAUAUAUAUAAAUAUUACAAAAAUAUUAAUUAAAAAAAAAUCUUACACUAAAAUAUAAAAUUAUAAAUAAAAGUACAUAAUUAAAUAUUAAACUGCAAGCAAAUAUUACAUUAUUGCAUAAAAUUAUUUCCAUAAUGCUCCCAUAUAUGAUCAACUAUUUCGAAGUAAGAAAUGAUUCUCUUUAUUUUUUAUUUGUAGAUUACGAGCCAAAAAUUGUUGAAACCGGAUAUCCUCAUAAUAUGUCUGCUGAUAGUUUGAUAUCAUCAAACGAAAAAAAUCCUUGAUCUUUUAAACGAAAGUACAACAAGCAGGGAAAAAGGUCAUGAGAUGAUUGAAUUACGACUGCAAAAUGAAGCAAAAAAGUUAGCUUUUAAAGAAAUAAAAGAGGAAAAUAAAAUAUUGCUAAAAAACUUAGCUUCUAUCGAUGACGUUAAUAUUCGUGAAUACAUUCGAUCUGAACAAGAAAGAAUCAUACGAAAAAUGCGUCAAGAGCAACAACAACAAUCAUCUUCGGUUACACAAAAUUUGUUGAACAAUAUUUUGGAGAUUUUGGAGGUUCCGGAGCAAAUUUACCAGACUAUUAGUGUUGUUAUAAUAUUUAAAUUUGAGUAAUAAUUAUGUCUUCAUGUGUCUUUUUAAUAAGUUUUUAUUAUGGUUUUUUGUAAUAUUCUUGUUGUUUAAUUCUAGUUUUAAAAUAUUAUAAAUCUUGUUUUAAUUUUUUUUAUUUAAUUUCAUGUGUAAAACUUAAGUUUAUAUAACAAAUUUGAAAUAUUUAUGAGAUAUAAAAGUUUUAAGGAUUAAAACAAUAAACAAAAAAAAUAUUUAAGAAUUAUAAAUAUGAUGUAUAAUUGUAAGGACCAAAAUGCAAAUAAAAAGAUGAAACUUCAAAUUUGAAGUUUUGAAAAGUGAAACUCUAUAUUUGGAGUUUCACUCUUCAAAACUUCAAAUUUGAAGUUUUGAAGUUCCUUUUUGGAGAGCAAAAAACUCUAUAUUUGGAGUUAUAGAGUUUCUUUUGGAGAUGCUCUUAGAGUUGGGUUUCUCCGUAAACUACGUUUUCCCAAAAGAAACAAAAGAUUAUCCAUACAUAUCGAGGACUUUAAAAUAUCAAUUUAAGACCCCACUAGUUUAAAGCUUCCAAUAUCAGCCGUUUUAUUAUGCUUGUGCUUCACAAAAGUUAUUACAUAUAUAGUGAUAAAAUCAAUAUUCACAUAGUUGUCAGAUGUGUAUUAUCAUAUACAUCAAUAUUAUACUCAUUUUUAGACACCCAAUUGUUUUUAAAUUGAUGACUAUAGUCUAUAUAUGUAGUUUGCAUCAUAUACUGCGUGUAUGAGUUGUAAACAAUCGAAAACAUGUUUGAAACUUAUGUUGAUAAUCCAAAUUGCGUAACUUUCUUAAAAUCCGCCGAUUCAACUAGGUUCAUGAUCAUGGGUGGAUAAUAAGGUCUCGUGCGUGUGUCAGUAGUAAAAAGGAUGCCUCAAGAAGAAAAGAAAAAUCUAAAGCAAAAGUUGCAUGGCAACAGUUUCAAGAACGUAUUGCUUCCAUAUAUAAACCGCGGAAAUUAAACAUUAAAAGAAUAUUUACUUCUAGUAUUUUCAGUAAGUGUUAUCUCCAUUUUUUUUCUAGCAGUAUCGAGUUACUCGUGUAUCCCAUCAGAACGUGUUCGCGAUUCUCAGCCAAAACCCAAGAAAACAACAUCAAAUAUAUAUAUAUANNNNNNNNNNNNNNNNNNNNNNNNNNNNNNNNNNNNNNNNNNNNNNNNNNNNNNNNNNNNNNNNNNNNNNNNNNNNNNNNNNNNNNNNNNNNNNNNNNNNUUUUUUUUUUUUUUUUUGAUAUUUCAUAUAUAAAAAACAUAUUUUUGAGACCACAAUGUUUACAGUACUUUGAUUACCUCCACAAAAUAUUCUAAAUAAAUCAUCCCCUGUAUAUUAAUCAUGGAGCAUUAUAACAUGUUUUCGUAGCCAAGUGUCAUCACGAGAAUGAUUCUUAGAAUUGUUAGAAAAAUAAGUUGGUCCAUAUAAACAUAUAUUAUGUUUUUCAUUAAACUAACUAUUAAAUUAAUUAAUAGUGUACAAAAUAAUAUAUUUUUUUUCUUAAAUAAAAGCUACGGAUUUACCUAAUAUGGUAAACAUAUAUAUGACAAUUAAUGAUUAUGAAUAAUACAUAUUUGAUUAAAAAAAAGUCUAACAUCUCUCACUUUUGUUUAAUUUUAUACUAUUAAAAGAAAUUAAACAAUCACAUUAAGCAUAUAAUAAAAAAAAUUAGAUUUUUUCUUAUACGUUAUAUUUUGAAUUUUUAAAAACGAGUAUAAAUUACUAAAUGGUAAAAGUCUCACAUUGAAAAUUUUGUGAUUAAUGGUUUUAUUUUAUUUUUUCUUCAAGCAAGAUACAAAUGAUCAUAUAUCUUAGGUGUGGGCGUUCAGAAACAUGUUCGAGUUUGUAUCGGAUAUUUCAGUAUAAAGGUAUAGAACCCGUUCGAGUAUUUCUACACUUCGAGUCGGGUUCGGGUAUUUUAUGUUCGGGUUCAGAUAUUUUGGGUCGGGUUUGGAUAUUUAAAUUUUGAAGAAAAAAUAAAUAAAUUAUUCAUUUUUUAAGUUUAUGUAUUUAAAAUAUAUUUAACUUAACCAGUUUUCUAAUUUUUAAAAGGUUAAACUAUUAAAAGGUUUGGAGACAAAACUUUAAAAAUAGAAAGACACUAAUUUAGUUGUUGUUUUUAGAUUUUAGAUUCAAUUUUUGUUAAUGCAAGAAACAAGAGUUUGAUAUGUAUUUUAAGUGAAUAGCAAAUGAUUUUGUCCAUAAUUAUAUGUAUAUUAUCUAAUUUUGAGCAAUAAACAUCAUUAAUAUAAAUAUUUUGAGUAAAAUGAGAGAAAUAAACUAUAAAUAUAAGGUUAAGUAUACUUAUGUUUGGUUAUCUUCGGAUAUCCAUUCGGGUUUGGAUAUUACUCGUUCAGAUUCAGAUAUUACCCGAACGGGUGAAAUAAGUAAUUUUUUUUGUUGUUCUAGAAUUAGAUGAUUUUUAGACUGAGCUGAUGAAUAUAUACUAGACAUAUGUUUAUAUUUCAAGUCUGCACGCAUAUUCUAUAACAGCUUGAUAUAUUAGAUUUGAACAAAGUUUGCCGGUGAUUUUGUUUUCAAAAUUUUGAUUCUUAGAUAUGAAUCUGGAAUAAAACUAAUUUUUACAUAUGUCCAUUUUUUAAAUUGACACAUAUGUAAUUCACCGAAUUCAUAGAAUAAGUUGAAAAAAAAAACUUAACUCAUAUCAAUGAAAUAAAGAACAGAACGAAAUCACAAUUUUAUAGAGGUAGAAAAUGAAAUCAGUUAUAGAUAGUCAAUAGUAAACAAAUUGGGAGAAGAAAACCUAAUCCUCUUUCGUCAUCAUACAAUCAAUGUUGCCUAUUUGGUUUCGGUGAUUUGUGUCAGCCGCAAAACUUAAUUUUCUUUUGUGCAUAUGAAGUCUUAAAAAUAAUUAAAAUGAGAUGUAAUACGUUCACUCUUCAACAACGAUGAUAUAUUAAAGAGACCAACAUUACACACCCUCACUCCUAGAUUCGCCUUUAUAUAUUUAUUUUGAAAAUUUUCAAUUUGUUUCUUUUACUAGUAAGAAACCAAACGAUGUAUCGCAGCGUGUGUGUUUCAUCAAGCCUCUUUUCUGUUGAGUAAUUUCCAAAUUUGAUGAUAACAAAACGUUACAAAAGUAUUUGCAUGGUUUGGGCUAUUUCUAGAUACAAAAUUACUUGCAGAAGGUCACACACUGUUACGUUAGAACUCUGAAACAUAGAUCUCGAAACUAAAUUUCAAGUUUUAGUUUGAACAAUCAAAUUGGUGUUUAGUUUGAACAAUCAAAUUGGUAGUAUUGGGUUUGGUGCAUGAUUUAUGUCGACCCUUUUGGAUAAGGCCCAUAUUGUUCAAUGUGACGGAUACACCAAGUUAUUAACACUGAAUACAUCUGUGUACACACUCAUUCUCCUACCAUGGAUUAAAAAACAUAAAGUCGAAAAUAGUAAUGAAAACGAAUGUAUUGGUAAGCCAUAAAUGAGUUGGUUGUUCGUUUUAGUUUUCUCUUAAGAAAAGUCCACACGAAAGUUACGAUUGCCAUAUCUUCACUGUCCCUUUUGGUUUGAUUUUUUGAAACUUUUCUCGAUCGAAGUGAAAAAUUUCAUGGCCACAUGACACCUAAAUCCCGUCAAAACAUGCUGGAGACCGUCCUUCAUUAAUGGUAAGUUGAUUUGGAUAGACAUAAUUGAUUUUUAAAUAGGGAAGUUACCAUAACUCUAAGAGAUUGAUCAAAAAGAACAUACUCUCAUGUACAGAGAUGUUUGGUCCAUCGCAUUACGGAUAUGUUCUUUGGAAUCGACUGAUGGAUAGAAAAUGGACAUGCACCAAGCUGGGAGAACACAUCAAAAAGUCUCAAGUAAAACAGAGGAAAAUUAUAAACACUCUCCAACACAUAAGGAGUAUGUUAACGAAUAAAGAUAGGGCUAUGCAAACUCUUUGUGCAAUAUUCAAAACCACGUGCCGACUUAUUAUUGAUUGAUGCUUUGUACAUGAAAUUGAUCUCCAACAUUCUCUAUUCUCUUAUAUUAUAAGUUAUACACUCUCGUAUAUAUUAAUCUUGGAGCAUUACAACAUGUUUUCGUAGCCACGUAUCAUUACAAGAAUUAUUCUUAGAAUUGUUAGAAAAACAAGUUGGUCCAUAUAAACAUAUACUAUGUUUUUUAUUAAGCUAACUAUCAAAUUAAUUAGUAGUAUAAUAAAAGCUACGGAAUUACCUAAUAUGAUUAACAUAUGUAUGACAAUUAAUGAUUAUGAAUAAUACAUAUUUGAUAACAAUUUUUCUAACCUCUCUCUCUUUUAUUUAAUUUUAUACUAUUAAAAGAAAUUAAACAAUCACAUUAAGCAUAUAAGAAGAAUUUACAUUUUUCUUAUAUGUUAUAUUUUGAAUUUUUAAAAACGACUAUAAAUUACUAAAAAUGGUAAAAGUCUCACAUUGAAAAUUCUGUAAUCAAUGGGUUUAACUUUUUUUUUGUUCAAGCAAGAUACAAAUGAUCAUAUAUCGUAGGGGUGGGUGUUCGGAUAUACGUUCGGGUUCGUAUCGGAUAUUUCAGUAUAAAGGUAUAGAACACGUUCGAGUAUUUCUACACUUCGAGUCGGGUUCAAGUAUUUUAUGUUCGGAUUCGGAUAUUUUGGAUCGGGUUUGGAUAUUUAAAUUUUGAAGAAAACAUAAAUAAAUUAUUCAUUUUUUAAUUUUUUGUAUUUAAAAUAUAUUUACCUUAGCCGGAUUUCUAAUUUUUAAAAGGUUAAACUAUUAAAAGGUUUGGAGAUAAAACUUUAAAAAUAGAAAGACACUAAUUUAGUUGUUGUUUUGAAAUUUUAGAUGCAACUUUUCUUAAUGCAAGAAACAAGAGCUUGAUAUGUAUAUUAAGUGAGUAGCAAAUGAUUUUGUCCAUAAUUAUAUGUAUAUUAUCUAAUUUUGAGCAAUAAGCAUCAUUAAUAUAAAUAUUUUGAGUAAAAUGAGAGAAGUAAACUAGAAAUAUAGGGUUAGUAUACUUAUGUUUUGUUAUCUUCGGAUACAGUGGUGGAGCCAGCCUAGUUUUUUGAGGAGGGUCAAACUCUUAAUUUGUAUAUAUUACAUGGGUCAACAUACCCACAAUUUGUAAAAUUUUCCUUAUUUUUAGUACAAAUUCAUGUAAUUUUUUUUUAUGUUUUAAAAUCAUGUGGGUCAUUUGACCACCCUCCUAACCAGCUACCUCCGCCACUGUUCGGAUAUCCAUUCGGGUUCGGAUUCAGAUAUUACCCGAACGGGUGAAAUAAGUAAUUUGUUUUGUUGUUCUAGAAUUAGAUAAUUUUUAGACCGGGCUGGUGAACAUAUACUAGACAGACGUUUAUAUUUCGAGUCUGCACAUAUAUUAUAUAACAGCUUGAUAUAUUAGAUUUGAAUACAGUUUCCGGUGAUUUUAUUUUUAAAAAUUUAAUUUUUAGAUAUGUAUCGGGAAUGAAACUAAUUUUUACAUAUGUCCAUUUUUUAAAUUGACACUUAUGUAAUUCACCGAGUUCAUAGAAUAAGUUUUUUUUUUGUCAUCAGAAUAAGUUAAAAAAAAAAACUUAACUCAUAUCAAUGAAUGAUAUGAAACAAAGAUCAGAACGAAAACACAAUUUUAUAAAAGUGAAAAAUUAAAUCACUUAUGAAAAGUCAAUAGUAAACAAAUUGGGAGAAGAAAACCUAAUCUUCUUUUAUCAUUAUACAAUCGAUGUUGCCUAUUUAGUUUUGGUGAUUUGUGUCAGCCGUAAAACUUAAUUUCUUUUAGUGCGUAUGAAAUCUUAAAAAUAAUUAAAAUGAGAUGUAAUAUGUUUCCUCUUCAACAACGAUGAUAAUUUCCUUUAGUGCGUGUAAAGAACUAUUAAAACAAUUUCCUUUAGUGCGUAUAAAGAACUAUUUUUCGCUCACUUAUUUAGUUUAAUAGAAGGAUAUCAAAUGUUUUUAAUACAAUAUCAUAAUUAUACGAAACAUAUGGUCAUUGUUUUAAUUAUAUGGAGCCUGUCGGUCCAUUAAUAUAACAAAACUGUGAGAGGAUGUAUAACUAUAAACUUUCAUUAAAUGGUCGUUUUGUUAAUUGAUUGAUGUCAACUGUAUAUAUGUGCGUUUCCUUACCCUAAAUUCGAAGUGAUAACUGCAUAUUUUUUUGAUACAGGAGAUGAUUUUCUUUCGUACGUAACUUUAAGUAUAAUGUAACUACACCGAACAGAAAAACAGGUGAAAUUAAACACACAUGUCCACACAUGGACAGAAGGAGCAUUUAAAGUAAAGGAAAGUGGUGGUUAGAGAGUAUGUGAUAUAAUUAAUCGGCCCAAAUAGAUUGGUAAGUGUUAGCCGCCAUGCUAAUAACUUCAACCUCAGAUCUUUCUACUAAAACCAUUUUAUUAUAAAUUCUACGUACACUCCCACUUCAUCUCCUCAAAUUCAUCAAAACACACUACAAGAAAAUGUUGACUCGUCUCCCUUUGAUAUGUUUUCUUGUUUCAGUCACGGCCAUUGCGGCUGACUUAACACCGGAGCGUUAUUGGAACACUGCCUUACCAAACACUCCCAUGCCAAACUCUCUCCGUCAUCUUUUCACGCCAGGUUACUGUAAAAUCUUUUUACUUUAUAUAUGUUUUUUCUAUGUGUCCCAAGCUGAUUGGUUACACAAUCUCUGAUAGUUUGUGAUUAUGUAUGUUAAGAACAUCUCCAAACCAUCUUUAUAUAUGUUUGUAUGAACAUUUAUAAACAAAUUUGUUUCAACAUACACUAUAUGUUCUCUUUAAAUGUAAACAUUUUUUUUUCUCUGUAUGUCAAAAUAAAAUUUAUUUAUUUUUCAGUAUAAAUAAAUAUUAAUUUAGAAAAUACACUAAAGUAAAUAUUUACAAUUCAAAAAAUAUUUUUAUUUUAUUUUAGAGGAAAAUAUAACAAAAUAUAUAUUGUAGAUUUCACUGAUGAGAAGAGCACCGACGUCCAAGUAGGGAAAGGAGGCGUGAACGUUAACGCCGGAAAAGGCAAACCCGGCGGAGGAACCGCCGUUAACGUUGGAAAAGGAGGUGUGUACGUGGACACAGGCAAGGGCAAGGGAACACACGUGAGCGUUAGCGGCGGAAAAGGUCCUGGAGGAGGCGUUGGAGUCCACACCGGACAGCCUGGAAAGAGAACCGACGUAGGAGUUGGUAAAGGCGGAGUUAUAGUGCACACGCGACACAAGGGCAGGCCGGUCUACGUCGGUGUAACGCCAGGACCAAACCCUUUUGUGUAUAACUAUGCAGCGAGCGAGACUCAGCUCCACGACGAUCCCAAAGCGGCUCUCUUCUUCUUGGAGAAGGAUAUGGUUCCUGGAAAAGCUAUGAACCUCAGGUUUAAUGCGGAGGAUGGUUACGAUGGUAAAACGGCGUUCUUGCCACGUGGGGAGGCGGAAACGGUGCCGUUUCAGUCGGAGAAGUUUUCGGAGAUUUUGAAUACUUUCUCGGUGAAACCAGGUUCGGAGGAAGCUGAGAUGAUGAAGAAGACUAUUGAGGAGUGUGAAGCGAAAAGAGUUGGGGGAGAGGAGAAGUAUUGUGCGACUUCUUUGGAGUCUAUGGUCGAUUUUAGCGUUUCUAAACUUGGCAAAUAUCACGUCCGUGCUGUUUCCACUGAGGUAACAAACACUUCUCUUCUUUUUAUGGUUUAUUAUUACGUUUAGGUUUGACAUAAAUCAAAUAAAGUCAAAACUGAAUGAAAUUAAUAUUUGUAAUUAGGUUUGGUUACGUUUGAUUAGGUUAAAUUUGAUGAGGUUUGGGUUGUAUACUUGUGUCUACUUUAUCUCCGGUUAGGAUUCGGUUUUAGCUAGUAAAUGAUUCAUUCAACAUCGUACAUCUUGUUUGCUUAAAAUACUAUAUUAUAGAAGAGAAAUAAAAGUUAAAAACUACUUUUUAUUUUAUAUUUGGGUUUGAGUUUAGUGAUUAGAAUUUAGGGUUUAAUAUAAAGUAGAAGGCAAGAUUUUGAUAAAAUUUUAAAGUUUGGAGUAACUUAAUCAUUUCACUCUUUAAUUAAUGUUAUUUUUGAGAUUUUUUUUGUUUGUGUGCUAUUUUUUCAUAAUUGUUUUUUUGUGUUAUUUAAAUCAUGUGCUCUGUAUAUAAGUAAGUGAACAUAAAAAAAAAGAAAUUUAAGUCUGGUAUGAUUUGGUUUUACACUUUUACUUGGUUCAGUUUAGUUUCAUUUGAUUUAUAUGUCCACGCCUUGCUAAUACUCGAGUUAAUUGAUGUAACCUUGGUUACUACAGGUGGUUGAGAAGAAUGCACCGAUGCAAAAGUACAAAAUCGCAGCACCCGGAAUAAAGAAGUUGUCGGACGACAAGUCAGUGGUGUGUCACAAACAGAAGUACCCAUUCGCGGUGUUCUACUGCCACAAGGCGAUGAUGACGAGCGUGUAUGCGGUUCCACUCGAAGGAGAGAACGGUCUGCGGGCUAAAGCGGUUGCGGUUUGCCACAAGAACACCUCGGCUUGGAACCCAAACCACUUGGCCUUCAAAGUGCUUAAGGUGAAGCCUGGGACUGUUCCGGUCUGCCAUUUCCUCCCUGAGACCCAUGUUGUUUGGUUCAGCUAUUAGAUAGAUAUGCUUUCAUAUAUUGUGGCUUAUGUAAUAAAUAAUAAUGCCGUCCCUUCCAUAUAGUCAAAGAAUUAAGACAUAAGUUUUCACUUUGCAUGGUUUGUCUUCUGUGGCCUGAUUCAUUCUUCUUUUGCAAGAAUAUACUGUAUGAUAAUAAAACUAGUCUUCAAAUAUUAAAAGAGCUCGUCCGUAGAAAACGGUAAUUUUCGUAAUGGGCCCAACGUUGCCAGAGUAACAUGAAAAGACCCCAAAGAAAAGAGAAAAUGUCAGAAGUGGGAUGUGAACCCACGCCCUCUUACGAGGACCAGAACUUGAGUCUGGCGCCUUAGACCACUCGGCCACCCUGACUGUUGUAAUUUAUUUGAAAUUACGGAUAAAUCUAAUCAAACAUAAGUAUAAAAUAAUAUAUUGAAAGAGCCUAAAACAUCUAGAAUGAAUGAACACAACUGAAUCAAACAUAUACAAAGAAACUUAACUUACCAUUCUGCUCCCAAGUCCAAAACCCUCUUAACUAAAUCAAAAGCUUGGUCUAUCAACCAACAUCCAAAAUAGACGAAACGAUGUUGUCUCCUAUAAAUGCUUUUACCACAUCUCAAAACAUUGGUUUUUAGCAGAGAGCUGAGUUCCAAGUCACUCUUUGUCUCAUCCUGUUUUUUGGCACUAGACUUCCACAGUACAUGGUUGGUUUCUUAUACUGUAGUAUCAAUUCAUUUAACGUAUGGUCAAAUAUGAAAAUAUCUCCAUCUCUGGUCCACUUUAUCUCAAAACGUAGUUUGAAUCACAUACCACAAGUCGAGUAAAAUCCUUGUACAUUUGCUAUUGUUUUUUUUAAUGAAAUUUUCACUUGACCAUAUGGUGCGUGUAUGAUGAAGUCAUCCUAAUGAAUAUCACCCACUUGUAGUAGCAAUGUAAAGCUAAAUACAAUACCAAGCCAUUGAGUCUCUUCUUUGAUAAAAGCUUUACAGAAGGUUGUUGGUGUAUUUACGAGGGAACAGAAUUGUUUUGAGACUUAAAUGAGCGUUGGGCCUUGGCCCAUUUGGAGUCUCCACUUCACUAUUACCAGUUCAAAUAUGUAAUGUGUACUUCCAAAAAAUAUAAAUUAUAAAGUAAUGAUGAUUUAUUAUGCAUUUUGAAAUAAAAUGUAUAUAAUUGAAUUUUGCCAUACAUUGUGAUUUCUUGUUAAGCUUUUGUAAACUGAUGAUCGUGUAUUAUUAUAAUCAUAUACUAGAUGUAAUUUAAAUGGUUUUAGUGAUUGUCAAAAAAAAAUUGGUUUUGGUUUGCCAUGUAGUAUUCCUCGAACCAACCACAUAAACUAACGACUCAAGAGUGACAAAGGAGACAUGUUUUAACGGAAAACGACUAGAACUUAUUACAGAAUAUGCCAGCUAACAAGCGCUCAGCUGGUUAAUACUGAACAAGAGAUGAGACUCGAGAGAUGAGCCCUCGAUUGAAGGAGCCAAUGACACUAUGGACUCAAGUACAUUGCUCUUAAAAUUGCAUCUGAUAGCAAACCAACUUUCAAAAUCCUGCUUCGGUUCAGCCUCGGGUUUGGCGAGUGUUGUAUGAUUUGCAGUCUGGACAUUUCUGAGCCACCACAUGGUACUGCACCUCCGAUUUUUUCCCACAGUCGUUGCAGAGGAUCUGAACCUGUUUUGUGUCCAUCAAAUGAUUUAGUUAUAUAUAAUCUGAUGAUUUUGAAUUCUUUACUUGGUUGAGCCUGAGGUGUAAUAAGAGUAAGUUUAGACUAACCAUUUUGUUCUGGUAUGGUUCUGGCAUUGGUGUAGCAGCAAUCUCCACGUCAAAUUUCUCCCACACCUUUGACAUGUCGCAUACAGAUUUUGAGCAAAGCGGGCACGCGUAUCUGCAGAGCACAGUUUACAGUGUUGUCAGUUGAAAGACAGCUACAAAUAACAACCCUGAGUUAUUUAUUACACUUACUGGUAAUGUUCUCUCAUUUCCUCCAAACACUUCUGAUGGAUGGUGUGUCCGCAGGGCAAAACUGUUACAUCGUUCCUUGAUUCAAACAGGUACUACAACAAAACCAUUAUUGCCGUUUUGUUUAGAGGGAUGCUCAAUUAGUGGAAGAAAAAUUGAAAGAAAAGAUACCUCAAAACAAAUGGGGCAGUCGUGAUGCAUUGCUCCUUCAACACAAGGGUGGCUGUUCUUGAGAAGGAUUGAGUAACAACAGCCUGGUUGAUAGUCAGAUUGUACAAGUCAAGAGAUUUAGUGGUGGCCAGCGUAAAAAAGUUCGAGGUUAUCUGAUGCAGAAAUUGGCUUACCACACUUGUAACAGUGAAAGAAAUUUUCAUGUCCGCCGAUUCUGGAACAAAAGAAGUAAAAAAGUUCCAAGUUAUGAACAAAUAUCUAACGUGAUAGAGUGAACAAAUCUUGUUGUAUGUUAAAGACGAGUCCAAGAACGUACCUGCAGAUUCCACAGCCGUCGCAGUGAUACUGCUUUUUAGAUGUCUGGAAACAAGAUAGAACAUAAUGGUUAACCAGCAGUAAUAGAGAAGCAAGAAAGAGAAAAUGAUCCAACAAUCAAGCUUAGGAAUAAAUUGUCUCAGGAAACUCACAUCAUCAUCGUAGAGCUUGCAGGCUUCACAGAAGUACUUCCCCAUGCACACUCCGCAGUUGGUACAAUUUUGGCGAACCUGGUGAAAACAGAGAAAACAGAGUUAAAUCUUCAAUAGAGUUGAGAAAAUGUUUGAUACCAUCCUAACUGAAACUUCUCAUUACUAAAAGCAGUAAACGUUCAGAAAAAGCAUAGAGUUUAGAACACACCUCUUGUUCAGUGCCACAGAGUAAGCAAAUAACCUGUGAAGACGAAGAUAGAGAUUCUGGAAUCAAGCAUAGAAGAAUAAACAUAGAGAAAACAAGGUAUUACAAACAACUUUACCUGUUCAACUUUCUGGCGAGGAAUAUCAUGACUCUGUUUCGGAUCUGCACUUAUAUUGUUCUGCUUCCAAGACAUGAUGAUUACACAUGUCAGCUUACAAAUCUAAUAAGAGUGAAAUCUAAAACCUGAAAUAAGAAACUCUACCUUUGCCUCAUAAUGACAGUGAUGGCAACCAAAGAUCUCAUCACAGCAAGGAGAUCUAAUGCAACACCUUCUUCUGUAAUGAGGACAUCUGCAAGAACAUUGGGAGAAAUUAGUUCAAGAGACACGCUCAGCUCUGGGGGAAUUCAAUGAGGAGGCAAAAAUUACCCAUGCUCCAUUAGUCCUCUGUCAAGGACUUCUUUUAAUGAUGACUCUGCCGCCUCGAGUUCGAGAAUCAACGACUCAGUUUCUUCAUUGCGUGAAUGAGGGCUGAGCAUCUCACUCUUCUCUCGGUCAGUCUUCUGUGGCUGCUCAACGAAAUGGUUGAAAUGUACCCUCUCCAUUACGAACUAUCUGUGAAUGAUACUGGCUAGCUGAUGGAAAAGCUUAUGUAACCUGCAAGCAAGAAAAGAUUUAGAACACAUAUUCAUCAUUUCCAAGUAAUAUGUCACCUGAAAAAACUGGAUGAACUGUUGCUUCCAUCUACAUUGCAGUAGACCAAUCCAAUCAUCACCAAGACAAUCCAGUUACGAAACGGCUCCAAUAAGCUUUCUCCAAGAGGCAAGUAACAUCAAAACAAGAAGAUUUACAAAGUAUAAAAACUAAACACAGCCCUCUUGGUUGAUGGAGCCUUCGUACAGAAAGAAAAGCUUAGCUCACUUCAGUUCUUGAAAUUCUGGGAAAACAUAUUCGGUUUAACCGGAUAUCCCCAACCUAUUGUAAAAGCAAGGUAAAGACUAUCAAACAACGUUUGGGACUGACGUAAAAAAAAUUGGAAUAACCGGGUUAAAAAAGAUGGGUCGGUGUCCAAAGAGGACAGACCUACCUCCCAUUGCCACUCUGCACCAAUAUUACUUCAGUAUGAAUCAGAAUUUUUUACUAAAGGAAUUAAAAGCCUGAAGAGUACUCUUUAGUUAUCAUCCAUCUUUGAAUCUGGCCUGAAGGAUGUACCAGUAACCAAAGGGACUAAAAAGACACGAGAACAUUCUACUAAGUUCACAAGCUCCAAAUGCUCUAAGGGAAACUCAAGGUGACACUUAGAUGAGACAACAGUGAGCAACCAGGACACUUUCUUCAAGAGCAACUACGAGGAACCUCUGUCCAUCCACUUUAGAUAAUAAACAGAGAAGGUUUAGGAGUUGCAUGAUCAAGGUAUGUAGGAUGAAGACAGCACAAGCACAAGUCUGGGUUAGCGAAGAGAAAGAGCAACACAAGAAGGAAUGUUUCCAAAGAAUCAAUACUUGUAGUAGAUCCAAGGCUCUCAGACUCUCACCUUGAAUCUCUGAGACACACACACAACAACUCCAACGAUGAUUCAUGAGCACGGUUCACCAAAUCCAAACACGUGUCAGAUAGAUUAUUAGGUCUAUGACCCAACCUAUUUGCAUUACCACCUAGAUUCUUGAAAACAAGAGUCUUAAGCUACAGCUUCUUCUGAACCAAAUCAAUCAAAGCUAAAAGCGUAUGAGAACAAUCAAUCACCAGAGAAAACAUCCAAGGGAACGAACGAACGAACGAACGAAGAAUCUAAAUCACGGAAACCUACAAAUAGAUAAAUUAAAAAUCACACACUACGAAAUAGAUCACGAACUUUCGAUCAGGCGAAUCUCCUUCCACCGAUUCGAUAGUCUCAGAGAGAGAGACGCUGCGAGAUUUUCCGACGGUUACUCCAGGAGCUCUGAGCGAGAAGCGAUUCGAUCUUAAGAGGAAACUUAAUGAGGACACCUUCUUUCCCUCCGCGUGUGGGGUGGUUUAUAUAGUGAGGCUUAGACUUUUUUCCAGAUACUUCGAAUUAUUGCCGUUUUCCGGCGCAAGCGAAAAUAUAUUUGUUCCUUUAAUUAUUUUUUAUUUGCUUUGUGUGUUGACAGCUAAAAUAUCUACCACCAUUCAUUUCCAUGAUUCCCCCCCCUAAGUUUUAAUAUCUUUUACCUCAAAAUGAAUAAUGUGAAGAGUGAAAAAUAAAUACAUUACACACGUCGCCAGCUAUUUUUCCAAACGUCUAAAUAAUAUUUAGAUUUCCACAACUGGAAUCAAUUAGUACAAUCUUUUCAACAGUUAAUGAAAAGAUUGCAUUUUUCAUUCUUUGUUUUUAGACGAAAAAACGUAUUUAGAAAAAAAUAUGUGAAUGAACUGAUAUUUUCACAUUAUUGCGUGGGAAAGGUUACUUACGUGUUGAACUUGAUUAACUUAUUGCGUGAGAUGGGGAUAGUGACGUGGCUUCUGAAUGAUUAGUUUGGAUUCUGAUUAGUUUACCUGUUUACGUAUUUACAAUACAUUCCCCUCCCUCAAGCUUAUCUUUAUGAUGUAGACACGUUAUCAACUCUUCUUCUCAAUCCUCUCCACCAAUACCAAUCACAUUUCCAUCUCAUAAAAAAUAAGUAGAUUUCUAUAGUUUGGGUGGCAAGACCGCAAUGUAUUUUAAAAUGUCUAGUGUUUAUUUGGUUAAAUUCGUGUGAUAUCCUAAUAUUAGUUUUGGUAUACUUUAUACACAAUUUUCUUUGUACGAUUUGUAUUUGAUUUGUUAAAAAGGAAAAUAUAUAUUUUCAAGUACUUAAAAAAAAAAAAGAUAGCGGACUUGCAAAUUAGUUAUCCUAUUUUAUAAGAAUUUGAAAUUAAAUAAGUAUAUUGUUUAUAAAGAAAUUAUAUUUAUUUUUUAUGCUUUACUCAAUGUUGGUCAAACUAAAUAUCCGAUUUUAUGUAUUAAGUAGAGAUCAAAUAGCAAGUAUGGACGGGGUAAUGGAAAAUUGUGCCCACUGCUAUGUAAAUUGGUACAAAAUGAUUUUUUGAGUAAUAUUUAUUUAUUUGGGUAACUGGUUUAACUCCGUCGAUCUAAUGGACCGGUGGAUCUGAGAUUGGUUUAGGGUGAACCGGAGAAAGAUGUUCAAAUUCUCUUUUUGUUCUGACAGUGAUACACCAAAGUCAGCCAUUUAUGAGUAGCCGGCCACGUCACCACACUAUUAACCGGGUCAAGGAUAAGAUAAAGACGUUUCCAAACAAGGCCCUACCGUGAUGCGACCUUCAAGUAAACGCUCGUUCUUUGCGAUUCCUCCGCUUACCAUAUAAAUACAGAAAAAAGUCCAUCAUUGACAGUUACGAUCGUCUCUCUUCUCCAACGCUUCCGAUCUCUUCUUUCGUUUCUGGUAAGCUCAUUUUCUCUCCAUCGUUUCUGCUUCUCCGUUGACUGCGAUUCUCGACGCGAUCGUAACGCUGUGCGCGCGCGCGCCUGUUCGUGUUCUCUUAGAUUCGAAUCAGUUCCGUUAGAUCAUACUUUUGUGAACGAAGAACGUUUGAGUUUCCGUGUAUGUAGUCUCGUUGAUUUGUGCGAUUUAUGUUAAUGUGAUGAUGCGUUAGGUUCUCGGCGUAGAUUAGUGUUGAUCGGUACCUAAGGCGUGCGUUAACAAGAGAAAGCUGAUCUUACUAACCUGUAACGAUAUGCCUUGUGUUUUCUUCGCCUACAUUGAUUUUGAUUGAUUGAUUGAUACCUAAGGCGGUUAACAAGAGAAACUGAUCUUAUUAGUGAUAUCAAUAUUGAUCUCUUGUGAAUUGUGAUCUUCUUGAUUAGUAUUUUGAGUUAGCGAUGAAGCCAGGAGGAUCAGGAUUGAAUCCGAACGCAGCAGCUUACGUACCAAUCUCCAAAAGAGACGGUGAUUCUGCAAAGCCUGCUGCAUCUGAGAAGCAGAUGAGUGAUGAGGAUUUGGAGAUGGACGUGGACAUUGAGUUCCUUUUAGCCACGUUCUCUGACUUGUCAUAUGAGUCUAUCAGUGAUGUGUACUUGGCUAACAAUGGUGAUCUGGAUGCUACUAUCGAAAUGCUGACUCAGCUCGAGGUGAUUCAUCUCACUAGUACACUUGAUUUACACUAGUGUAGAUUGUGAAGCUUAAGCUGUGUUACAAUUGAUGUUCCGAUUCUGCAGAUUUUCAGUAAUGAAGCUGAGGAAUACCUUCCAGACACACUUGACAUUGGUGAUGUACCUGAAACCAUCAAGCCUUCUACUUCAUCAGCUCCAAAGCAGACGAAUGCAAGUGCAUCAACAUCCUCCCGUGCCCCAAACGCUCCCUCUUCCUGAUUUGAUGAGUCUUUAAAUUUGAAGUUUUAUAAAACAUUCGUGUAAAGGAUGAUUAUAUGAUAUGAGGUUGAUGGGUUAUCUUAGGAGAUCUCUUUUCUAUAUUUUCCUGCCCCGAUGCUUUGUUACAUUGGAGAAAAAGAGAGAGUACAAUGUAUAGAUUUUUUGAAAAUAUCAAGUAUGAGUGUUGAGAAUUGGGAUUGUUCUUAUGGUGGACAAAGCUAUUAAUCAUUAACCUCUGAUGCUCUUUCGGCCAUUUUUAUUAUUUUUCUCUUCUUUUGCUCAUUGCGCUGCUAAAUAUUUUUGCAUCUUCUCUUCACCACAUGUUUGACGUAUGGAAUUGAUUUUGUUCUUUGGUAUAUUUCUAAUGUUUACAUCCAUUAACUGUAUCUUAACAAUGUUAAUGUUGUCUUUUUAUUUUUUCUCCCAUUAAUACAAGAUUUUAUUCCCCAGUAAGUUGUUCAAAGAUGGAAUCUAAACGUUGUCUGUGGGUCUGUAAUAAUUAAAUGAAUAAACGUGCAGCUACAUUUGCGGCCCUCUUCUCUCUCUCUCUAAGUAUUAUUAUUAGAAUCAUCUAAAAAUACCUCCAUAUACUUGCUCGAUUUGGUUUCUUCUUCUUUCCUUUUUCUCCUUUUUCAUCAUUCAUCUGGUGAUGCAGGAGAUCUGAUUGAUUUUUUUCUUCUGGGGUUUUGUUUUAGAGGAAGAAAGAAAUUCAAAAUAAUAAUAAAAAGAUGGGUUUGGAUUAUUACACCAUAUUGAAGGUUGACAAGAAUGCAACGGAGGAUGAUCUCAAGAAAUCUUACAGAAAAUUGGCUAUGAAAUGGCAUCCUGAUAAAAACCCUACCACCAAAACCGAAGCUGAAGCCAAAUUCAAACAGAUCUCCGAGGCUUAUGAGGUAACUUUUUUUCUCUUAUAAUCUUGUUCCUAAUCUUGAUUCCCUUAGAUCCCCAAAAUAUCCAAAACUGUGUGUGUGUAUGUAUGUCUUGUUGAGAUCCAUUCCUUUGACUAAUAAUGAGUUUCUUGGGACACAAGCAAAAUGUACCUCCUCAAAGCCUAUUUUCUGAGUGUGGGAAAACAUUUCAGGUUCUGAGUGAUCCUCAGAAGCGAGCAGUAUAUGAUCAAUACGGUGAAGAAGGACUAAGCGGUAUGCCGCCUCCCGGGAGCACAGGAAACAACGGAAGAGCAGGCGGGUUUAACCCUAGAGAUGCAGAAGACAUAUUCGCAGAGUUCUUUGGAAGCAGUCCAUUUGGUUUUGGAUCAGCUGGUGGUGGUCCUGGAAGGUCAACAAGAUUCCAAUCAGACGGAGGAGGAAUGUUCGGCGGAAACAACGGUAGUGAGAACAUGUUCAGGACUUACAGCGACGGCACUGUGCCUAAGAAACCACCACCCGUUGAGAGCAAGUUGCCUUGUAGCCUUGAAGAGUUGUACACUGGAUCGACAAGGAAAAUGAAGAUCUCUAGAACCAUUGUUGACGCUAACGGGUAAUCUUUGUUUCCAUUUUAUCGCAUUCACCCGUAAGAUCUUGAGGGCGGACUCUGAGAUUUUGGAGGUUAUAGAGAAUAAGAAUUUUAUUUAAAAUAAUUUGAAGUCUAUAUAUAUCUAUAGAAAUUAAUUUUUAAAAUUGUUUUUACUGGACUGUGUCUAGGACCGGUCUCAUGUGUUGUUUUGGAUGGUGAAACAGGAGACAGGCGCAAGAGACAGAGGUUCUAACGAUUGUUGUGAAACCAGGAUGGAAGAAAGGGACCAAGGUCAAGUUUCCAGACAAAGGAAACGAGCAAGUGAAUCAAUUACCAGCUGAUUUGGUGUUUGUGAUAGACGAGAAGCCGCACGAUUUGUUCAAGAGAGAUGGGAAUGAUCUCAUCACAAGCGCGAAAGUGACGCUUGCGGAAGCUAUAGGAGGAACAACUGUGAGUAUCAAGACGCUUGAUGGGAGGAAUCUACCCGUUGGUGUCACGGAGAUAGUCAGUCCAGGGUAUGAGCUUGUGGUUCCUGGAGAAGGGAUGCCGAUAGCUAAGGAAAAAGGAAACAGAGGUGAUUUAAAGAUUAAGUUUGAUGUUCAGUUUCCGACAAGGUUGUCAACGGACCAGAAGUCUGCACUCAAAAGGGUCUUAGUGGGUUGAAGAGUUGAGAUUUGGAAUCCCUCUCAAUGCUCUUGCAGUCAUGGUGAUGGUACCUUCCUUUGUUUUUGUUGUUGUUCAUUAGUUCUUUCUGUAAAGACUUUGUAGCAUGUUCUUGAUGUGUCUUAAAAACAACCUGUACAAAUCUUUGAUUGUGUUUGUUGCAUACUAUUAAACUUUAAGCUCUUGUUCUUAAAUAUUCCGGUUUACAAUUCUAUUAGCAUGCUACAAUAAAUAUAAGUCAACAAACCUAACAAAAACAUACUAUAAUAUUAGAGAAAGGAACAAAGAGAUAAAUGUGAAUGACAUAGGAGUAGAGACAUAUGUUUCCUCAUUCGAUAAGUUCAUGUUGCCACACAUGGACUCAUCUUCUUUUAUAGCUGAAAAUGGCAUAUGGUGAAUGGAAGUUUCCUCCAUAUAGGUAGAGAGAUACUCCGCUCCCAUAUUAAUGGACAUGAUACACCACAACUGUAUGCAACAUUCACUUCAAAAUAUUCAUGGAAACAGAUGGACAGAGUUUUGUGGUUAAUCUUUCAACUGUUAAGCAAAGGAGGAGAAACAUACUAGUGGUUAACGUGGAUUCCACGGCACACGUAGAUGAAAUAAAACGGCCUAAUUCAAAUAAACAAGGCCCAAACUCAGUGUUAGCUUUGAUAAUAAACGGGCCUUGGCAUUUGCUUAGGAUACCUCAUUAAUGAAUCCAACGGUUGUAAUCACGUGUCAGUGUCUUAUCAGACGGACGCUAUAAUUGCAUGCGAGCUGUUAAUUAAUAAUUAUUACCAGAAAACAAAACCGCUGUUUUUUUCGAUAAAAUCAAAAAACUAAAUUGCCCAGAAAAUACCAUCAUUUCUCUCAGCAAUCGAGAAAGUAAAAAAAAAACAAUCAAUCAACACACUGUUCCUUCUCCUCCUCGAUCCAAACUCUUGUUUUAAUUAUUCCUCUCGUAUAUUUAAAAAAAAAAAAAACAAAAUCGAAACCACUGUUUCCUUUCACCUCCCAGAUUUGCUUUUUUCAAAUUUCCUCUCUAGAUUUCAGAAAACUUUCCUCUUUUGUUUAAUUCAAACCCAAAGGGUCUCCUCUCUCACUAGGAAUCAUGAGAUGAAGAUUUGAGGAGAAAGCUUGUAAUCAUUAGGGUUUCCAAAUUAUCCAAAAGUAGAAACCUUAUUUUGUUCCGGAUCUGUGGUUCUGUCGGGGGGAUGAAGAAUGUUCAGUCCUAACACAACAUUUUAAUCUUCCUCUUUCGAUAUCCAUCGCUAUGUUCAAGCAGUUCCUCAGCAAGCUUCCUCGGAAGUCGUCCUCAAAACCCGACUCCACCUCGGAUCCAUCCGGAUCCAGCGUCGUCAGAUCCAACUCCGUCAAACGCAUGUCCUCCGCCGUCUUCCCCUCCAGCGUCGUCGCCGGAAUCGAGCCUUUGGUCCCCUUCAAAGACGUCCCGACCUCCGAGAAGCUAAACCUCUUCGUCUCCAAACUCAGCCUCUGCUGCGUCACCUUCGACUUCUCCGACCAAACCAAGAACUCACUCGAGAAAGACGUCAAAAGACAGACUCUCCUCGAGCUCCUCGACUUCGUAUCCUCCUCCUCCUCCGUUAGGUUCACCGAGCCAGCCAUCCUCGCGAUGUGCAAGAUGUCAGCCGUUAAUCUCUUCAGAGUAUUCCCUCCUAGUUACCGAGAGAGAAACGAUAGUGAUGAUAAUGAUCCCACGUUCGAACCUGCUUGGCCUCACCUGCAGAUCGUUUACGAUCUGCUGCUUAAGUUCAUCACGUCUCCUUGCCUAGACGCUAAGUUAGCUAAAAAGUAUCUAGACCACGGGUUUAUACUAAGGCUCCUCGAGUUGUUCGACUCCGAGGAUCCGAGAGAGCGUGAGUGUUUGAAGACAAUCCUCCAUCGCGUCUACGGGAAGUUCAUGGUUCACAGACCUUUUAUCCGCAAAGCAAUGAGCAACAUCUUCUACAGCUUCGUCUUCGAGACCACCGAGAAGCGCGGCGGGGGAGGAAUCGCCGAGCUUCUCGAGAUUUUCGGGAGCAUUGUGAGCGGUUUCGCUUUGCCUCUCAAAGAGGAGCAUAAGAUCUUCCUGUGGAGGGUGUUGAUUCCGUUGCACAAGGCUAAAUCCGUUGGGGGGUAUUUUCACCAGCUGUCUUAUUGUGUGACUCAGUUUAUUGAUAAGGAGCCGAAGCUUGGGAGCGUUGUGAUAAAGGGUUUGUUGAAGUUUUGGCCUGUGACGAAUAGUCAGAAGGAGGUUAUGUUUCUUGGGGAGGUUGAGGAGAUUGUGGAGGUGAUGAGUUUGGUGGAGUUUCAGAAGGUGAUGGUUCCUUUGUUCUUGAGGAUUGCUGCUUGUGUUAACAGUUGUCACUUUCAGGUAGGUUUCUUGCUUUCUUUUUAAGAGAUAUUGUUAAUCUAAAAUUAUUUUUAGACACUGUUUUUUUUUAAAUAAUAUUAACGGUAUAAUUAACUAAGUUCUAAAAGUUAAUAGACGUUUUUUUGAAAUUAUAAGCUCUAAAUUUAGCUUUUUUGAUCAAAAUUUUUGAAGUUUUAGACCAUAAUUUAUGUAUAUAUUUUUGAAAUUUUAUUUUUAAAAAAGUUUUAGCAGUAUAAUUUUGAAGUAUAAGUUUUAGCUCUAAAUUUCAGUAGUAAAUCUAAAAUUUUGAUGUUUUAGACCAUAAUUUAUGUAUAUAUUUUUGAAAAAUUAUUUAUUUUAUUUUUUAGAUCCACUUAGAUGGCCUUGAUCUCAAUUUAAGCAGUGUAUUAUUGAAGUGUAAGUUUUAGCUCUAAAUUUCAGCAGUAAAUCUAAAGUUUUGAAGUUUUAGACCAUAAUUUAUGUAUAUAUUUUUGAAAAAUUAUUUAUUUUAUUUUUUAGAUCCACUUAGAUGGCCUUGAUCUCAAUUUUGGAGUUUGAACCGUUUGUGUUUUUCUUGUGGUUUAGGUUUCUGAGAGAGCUUUGUUCUUGUGGAACAACGAUCAGAUUGUGAAUUUGAUUGCACAGAACAGGCAAGCCAUCUUACCGAUCAUGUUCGCUGCCUUGGAGAAGAACGCUGAAAGCCACUGGAACCAGUCCGUGCUGAACUUAACUCUAAACGUGAGGAAAAUGUUUUGUGAGAUGGACGAGGCUUUGUUCAUGUCUUGCCACGCGCGGUUUCAGGAGGACGAAGCAGAGCAAUGCUCUGCGGAGGAAAAGAGGAAAGAAACAUGGGCGAGGCUAGAGAAGGCGGCAAGUAUGAAGCCUGUAACUGGAAAGACAGCUGUUCUUGUAACUCCUUUAGCAACCUCCAUUGCCUGCUAAAUGAAGAUGAUGGAAUGGCUGUUGGUUAAGCUAUGGUCUGGAUUUGAUCUUUGUAAUGUUAUAUAGUUUUGAUGUUGUUAGCUUAUGUGGGUUUUAUGCUAAAUCUCUUGCUUUAAAAGUGAGGAAGCCUUGAAACCAUGCUGCAGAUUUCUAUAUGAAACUCUUUGUAUUCAAUUAAGUUUAUAUAAGAAGCCAUUUUCAACAAUGUGUCUAUGAGGUACAUAGAGUCAAUUAUAUUGCUAAAGAAACAAAAACAUAGUUAUUGUCUCUUCAUAGUAGGCAUACGGCCGGAUAGUUAGGUUUCAGUUAGUUUGGUUCAACAUAAAUCUUAGCAAAUUAACCCAGUUUAAAGUACGGUUUCAGUAUUCGGUAAGGUCAAUUUUAAAAAUCUUACAUAAGUUUUUUAUUUAGAUUAUAUUUUGAUUUAAUUUUGCUAAAAUUUUGAAUAAUUUCAGUUAAAAUCAGUUAAGUUGGUUAGUUCAGUUUUAAAUUUUAUUAAUUUGAUUCAGAUUUUUGGUAUAGUUUGGUUAUAGUUUUUUUUUAUUUUUAGUUUCUAAGAAAAUCGAAGUAACCAAAUCAAACCGGACCAUAAAAGCGAACUAUUUAUAAAAGCCACCAAUUAUAUUGCUAAAGAAACAGAAACAUAGUAUAGAUUGUCUCUUCAUAGUUCAUACACUAAGGUCAUGAAGGAAGAACGUUUUCCCACGGUAUGUUAUGGUCUUUUCUUCAGCUCCAAGACACCACAAAUGCCCUUGAAGGUUAAUACUCUCUUUCAUUCCCGCCGUUUCCCACACAAAUUCAAACAACCCCAAGGCUCUAUCCAACUGCUUGAUCCCUCUCCCCAGCAUCUUCUCAUCCCCUGAGGUCAAUACCCUCCCCAUGCUUAAGCUAAAAACCCCACUCUUCUCCUCCUUGUGAAACCCUCCACAGAGAUCAACUUCAAUGUCACGCACACGUCCAUAGAGAAAAUACACGAGAAGACUGAACAAACACGGCGAAGGACUCCCCAACAUCUUCGAAAGCUUUCUGUAGACAAGGUGCUCUUGAGGCCUAACCUCUCUGAACCCAAUAGUGUUGUCUAGAAACACGUCUUUGAUCUGUAGAAGCCCUUCUUUCAUCGACAAAAGCUUCUCCAGAUGGUAAAAGUCAUGCUCUUCGAGGUACCUUCUCAGAUCGUUCACCAUGUCGAGAACAUCUUCCCACUUCGCAGAAGCGUUUGCUUUCGCGUAUCUACCUGGCACGGGACGCAUCCAAGAAGUCGAGGUCUCGUCUUCGAACGAGACCGAUGAUUCAGACAAGAACUUGAGGCAGGACAAGAUCACUUGCUGUCCUAACUUCGUCCCUUGCCUUGUUGUCUCGCUAUGUUCAACUUCUUCUUGGAGAGCGUUCAGUAUAUCUUCGAGAGCACCUCUCCAGAUACGGUACUGGGUCACCUGCGAACACACCGUGGACCUCACUAGCUUCCUCUGUUGGGCCGUGAUGUCGAGAAAGUUGCAGACUUUGGUUAAUGAGUUCACCACGAACGGCUCUCUUUCGGUUUCGGUGUUGAAGCGUUUAUGUUCUUUGAGCUUCUGCUGAAGUGGAGGAGACCCAAUGAAGAUUCUAGCUAGAGACUUGAAGGCUUGCAUCUUCUGUUUGAUGUGAUCAUUAUAGAUGAUGACGCCGUUGAUGUCUUCAAGCUUGCCGUCUACUAAGUCGAAGUCCUUUAGUGAAUGGGUGAGUUUGGUAAGAAGUGGGAGUUUCUUUGAGUACCAUUCAAAUGGUAAUGAUUCUUUGUAGGAAUCCACAUGGAUUGUACGGAGGAAGCGAGUUGGGUUAGCCCUUACAGUACCCAACAUUUGAAACAGAGCUAAUAUUCAGACAUUAAGUGAAUAAAUCAGACAAGAAAUGUCAAACUCUCUUUCUCUCUCUCUUGGGAAUUUCUACGAACAGUUUGUGUGCAACUCUUGAGAGGGGGGGGGGAAUCUAAGAGACUCAACAGCAUUUAGGAAUUUCUAAUUAGAGAUUAAAGUUGUAGUGAAAGAGCAUCUGUAGCGUGAAAGAGAAGUGAAGCGAUUUGGGAGGAGAGAAGGGAAGCUUCAGAUGAGUAGAUGGCAAUGCGAAGCUGUGAGAGAUGGAGAUGAGAGUUGGAAAGCGAAGAGAGCUGGUGUUGCGUUUUGGAUCAUUAAUGGGCCGAAGAAGUAAGAAUUUAAAAAGGCCCAAUAGCUGGUUUUAUUACGAUAUAUUUUUCUUUUUGUUUUGCGUACUAAAACGUUUCUAAUAAUUUUUUUAUUAAUCAAGAAACUGUAAAAUCUCCUCAUAAAAAUUGUAAUUUUCACAUUAUAUAUAAAUAUAUACUUGUUAUUUGGUACUACUGUAUAUGUAAUUAAAUCAAUUUUUUUUGUCCAAGUGCACCACCAUGCUUUCCAUAAACCAAGGUAUUACAGUUUCUAAUUUUGUAAUUCUUAAACUAGGGAAAUGGUCUUUUAAUUGUAUUUACUUUUGCUCGUAACAUUCUUAAUUUUCCCAUGAAAAUCAAAAAUUUGAAAUAUCCGGUCAAUUGCGAAGCCUCUCUGUUGUCUCUCCUAAGCAUUACUCUGUGAGUCUAUCUUCCCCCUCCAACGGAUUUUCAGUUUAUUAAAUGAAAUUUCUGAAUGUUGUGAAGAACAUAUAGUAUUGAUGAUAUCUUUUAUCAAAAAGGAGAUAUAGUAUUUGAUCAUGUUUAUGUCUUUUUAUAUGAAGAUUUACGAUUUCUGAGUCCGAUUCCUCUUUGACUCGUGCGGAUGCCUCUAUUGUUUUUAGUAGAAGUAUACCAUACAUAUUACAUACGGCCUUUAAAAGGAAAAAGAGUUUUCAUCCAAAUUAUUGAGAAUGCAUGGUCCUUCCAUGACAACUGCAUACUUUGCAUAAAGAUAUAAAUCAUUAGAAGAAUGUGACAAAAAAAUAAAAGAAAGAGAAGCUAAGAAAGAAGGGCUUAUAAAGAUGAAUAUGCUUUCUUUUAUGUGGGUUAAAGAAAAAUUUUAUGCUUUCUUUUAUGUUUUUUUAAAACUUUUUUAAAAGUUACUGCAAUUUUGUAAAAAAAAAUUACGAAUUUAUUAUUGUUUUUUUCUUUAACUGUUUUGUACUGAUAAAUUGUUUUAUUCUUGUCAUCAAGAGUUCAAUGGUAUUUCUAAAAUGGAUAAAAGGUUUUUUUUGAUGUUGCUUUUCGCUACAAAAAUCGACUUUAACAGUAUGAAUUCUUGUUUGGUCAUCGAGAAAAAGGAAACACUAAGUGCUUAGUUUAUGUAUGUAAUUUAGUUACUCCCCUAAUUUAUGUUUAGUUAACAUGGAUUAUGAAACUGAAACUAUGAUUAAAGCUAUAUGAAAACAGAUGCACACAUCUAUCCUGACUUUUCCAAGUCAAAACAGAUGUUUCAACUGUAUUCCUCGCCAAAACUUAAAGUAGUGACUUUUUUUUUUUUAAGUAGUGACUUAAUUUGACAAUAAUAUGUAAUUUAGUGACUGAUUAAGUAGGAAUAUCGGAGUAAUUGUGAAAUUAUGUACUUAGUUAAGUCGUAAUAUGACUAUGCUAGUUAUAAUAAAAUGUGUUCUUACUAGCAUAGCAUAUUCAUACAACUUGACUAAGUUAUAUACAAUACUGUAUUCGAUUAAGAAAAAUAAAACAGAUUUACUAUUAAGGAAUAAACCCUUUUCUUGUCUAUAAUGCAUACGUAUGUUAUAUGUCUUAUCUAAGUUCAUUUGGUGAUAUAAAACCAUCGAACUUGGUCGAGCCUGUCUUUAAGAAUGUUGUUUAAUUACUACAAAUCAACGGGUUCAAAUAGCACAUGACAUGAAUGCAAAGGCAUCUUAAUCGAAUAUAACUGAUAUGGGUUUGGAAUUCAAAGUGCGAAUGAUGCAUACCUAAGACUGUACUUUCACUUCACUAAAACCAAAGAAGAAUAAAAUGAUGAAUUAACUUAAAAGUGGGGAAAAAACGAAAGAUUCUUUAGUAAAAGCCAAUUAGUGCAACACUUUAACAAAAAAAAGCCAGGCAAUGGAUUGUAGUAGCAGACAUUAAAGACGGGUUAUCUUCUUUUUUGACCAUUUGAUGAUAAUCUUAACUACACAACUCUACCAGGUCAAAUGACGACUGAAGAAUCCUAUGCAAAAUGCAACGUGUCUGUAGACACGUACCCACGCUUAUACUAUCUUAGGACACUAGAAUGAAUGGUGAAUAACAAACAAAUCUUCAUGUAAGGGAACAGUAUAAAAAAGGCUAUGCCGCGAAACAUCCAUUUGUGUCAAAAAUUCCAAAACGAACUUAGUGAGCUUGCCAUUCAGGUAUUUAGUGACAACAUAAUUAUUUCUCUGGUGACUAUUCAUAUUCUUAAAGAAAGGAAUUCAGAUAUUUUUCUUUUCAAUGUGGUGGUCAACUCAUCAUCCUCAAGCCACAUCAUAAUUAUAGGAAUGCAUACCUAUACUAUUAGAUGCUUAAGUUUUAUCCACCGUUGAAAAUUUCAAAUCUCAUGGUUAUUCACUCUCUUUUUGAGCCAUUGGAUUUUGAUGUGGUCCAUGCAUGCAUCUACUCAUUUCAAACGCUUUUUCUUACUCAUUUCAAAUACUUGCUAGAAUUGUUGUUUGGUUUAACGUAAGAAUCUCUAUCCUUAGCUAUACUAAAGUUUCUAUAAAAUUAAUUGCAUAAUAUGAUUUGCAUACAAUUUGGAUUUGCUGUAGCAAAUCUCAUCGUCUUGUACGGUCAACAACUCAAGCGCUUCAAAUUUAGAUGGAAUCGUCAUUGAGGGAUAAGAGAGUAACAGUUUAUCAAAAAUAAGGAUGCAUUAAUUAAAAUAAACGUACAUAGUAGGAAGAUCGAUAUCAGAAGUCAGAACAAAGAACUUCCGAUUUUUUUUUACUAGCUUACAGUCUAAACAUAACCAGACAAAGGUCCUACGAAAUACGAAACGAGUCAAAGCAAGAAAAAAAAACAAAUGACGACAAACAGGGUCGUUAUCUUGCUUCCAUUCUUCAGUAGUUUUAUCUCUUCUAGUGCAGCCUGCAUAAAAAAGCCAAAGUAUAUGUUAAAACACUUUUUCAACCAUGAGGUCUCACGUUUUAAAAUUUAAAUCAAAUGAAAACUUGUGUUCCCUUUUCGAAUGUUUGUUGUUAAUGUAGGAAAGAAAACAUAAUAAAAAAUUUCACGUAAUAAAUUUAGACCCAAUAUACAUGGGGCACGAAACAAUAACUUCUUUUGCAUAUGUUCUGGAUUGGGUCUGGUUAGUUUCUAUAUAUGCCACAUUUUGUCAACGUAGAUAUAGCACACUAGCAUAUAAAAACCAUGAGAGAUUGUUGUGGCAUGUGAGUAAAAUUUUGGAAUUAUUAGAAAUGAAAUUUAUUGAAGAAAUAACAAAUAAACAAAUUUACUUGAUCAAGAUGAUGAAGAAAGUUAGGUCUAGUAGGGUGGAUUGGUGUCAGGUUCCUUUGGGGCGUUGCACCUGAAACACUCUGACCUGCUUGCGAAGUUAUGUUCAUUGCAGCCUGACCUAUACAUACAAAACCAAUCAGCUUCUACAAUCUUCUUAUACAUAUACAAACAUGAAUGAAUAUAAAUACUAAUAUUCUAAAAUUGUCGUCUUAGCUUACGAAGCCUGCGCGCAUGCAUGAAUUUAUGUAUAUGUAUUAUUACAUGGUGGAGACGCCCAUGUACAUUUUCAUGAACCAUGCACAUGAAACAAACAAAUACAAAAAAAAAAAAAACAAUACCUGGGGCAAAUCCAAUCUCCAGAUUUCCAAGAAGAGCGGCCCAUGCCUCCGCCACCACCACUACUAGUGCUACCAAAUCCAAAAAAGCCACGUCUUGGACCAUCACUCAAGUCCAUAAACCCGGUGGCUAGAGCGGCAGCCGAGCGUGAAGACUCAUCUUUUGCGGCACCACACUUGAAACAGCUGGACCUGCUUGCAAAAUUGUGAGUCCCGCAAUUUCCAAGGUUGCAGUACCAAUCACCGGGUCUCACAUCAGGCCCGGUGUUGAAAGCAAAAGCGUUGCUGAUCGGGCGGCUUGCAAAGCCGCUGACUAAGUCGGUAAUGCUUCCCGGUCUGGGCUCUCUGCAUCGUUGGCAGGACUCACUUCUUUGGAAGUUGAGGUGGCUACACGAUAGGCAGUUCCAGUCUCCUGGCCUAUUCAUCUUCUUCAAAUCCCCCAUAGAUAAAAAGAAAUUAGACAAUAUUAAAGGUAUAUACAUAUUCACAAGUGUAGCCUAAUAUUUGAUGAUUACCUGGGGAUGUUAGCUGAAAACAGUAAGGAGAGUAGAAGUGAUAUUUUGGUGUUGUGAUAUGUCCCCAUAUAUAUACAUCGGCAAAGCAAAAGGUUCUUCUUUAUCAACCGGGAACAUACUUUGAAGUGAAAUUAGGGUUUCAAAAGGUUUUAACUUUCUUAUUUUUGUUUCAGCUUUAAUGCAUUUCCUUUAACGUUGGGUUUCUCUGUAAACUACGUUUUCCCAAAAGAAACAAAAGAUUAUCCAUACUAGUUUAAAGCUUCCAAUAUCAGCCGUUUUAUUAUGCUUGUGCUUCACAAAAGCUAUUAUAUAGUGAUAAAAUCAAUAUUCACAUAGUUGACAGAUGUGUAUUUUCAUAUACAUCAAUAUUUAUACUCAUUUUUAGACACCCAAUUGUUUUAAAAUUGAUGGGGAUAUGUAGACUAUAUAUGUAGUUUGCAUCAUAUACUGCGUGUAUGAGUUGUAAACAAUCAAAAACAUGUUUGAAACUUAUGUUGAUAUCCAAAUUGCGUAACUUUCUUAAAAUCCGCCAAUUCAACUAGGUUCAUGACCAUGGGUGGAUAAUAAGGUCUCGUGCGUGUGUCAGUAGUAAAAAGGAUGCCUCAGAAGAAAAGAAAAAUCUAAAGCAAAAGUUGCAUGGCAACAGUUUCAAGAACGUAUUGGUUCCAUAAACCGCGGAAAUUAAACAUUAAAAGAAUAUUUACUUCUAGUAUUUUCAGUAAGUGUUAUCUUCCAUUUUUUUCCUAGCAAUAUCGAGUUACUCGUGUAUAGCCCGUCAGAACGUGUUCGCGUUCUCAGCCAAAACCCAAGAAAACAACAUCAAAUAUAUUUAUUUUUUAAAAGGAAAACAAGAAUCAUUGGAUUGGAACGUAUAUAUUGUCUUCUUCUUUUUUUUUUUUUUUUGUAACACGAAUAUAUUGUCUUCUUCAAUGUUUGAAUUUCGACCAUUUUUGUCUGUCAUUUGAAUUUGUCGAUUAUACGACACAGUUUCAUAUAUAAACCUAGACAUUAUCGCUUACGCCUUAUGCUACACCAAAAUCGGCUUUAUUUACCGUCAUUAACUUUUAAGACACGAGUGAAAAAUAUUUACCACUUUUUUCGUGGUGACACUAUGACAUCAUAUAAAAACUAUAAUAUUAAAUGGUAAACCAACAUGAGCUUCUAGUCCAAAAGGUCGCGUUACUACGCAAAUUAGCUUCUCAAACGGUGGUGUUCCAAUUAUGGAAACAGAGGAACAACGUCGUGCAUAACAGAAUGUGGCUUCCUGCUCCUCGAGUAUUUCAAGCAAUUGACAGAGAGAUGCGGAACAUAAUUUCGUCGAGGAAAGCUCGUAAGGGAUUCAGGUCCCUAAUGCCCAUGUGGUUAAGAUGACUUUGUUACUCUGUUUCUUUGCUCCCUGUUCCAACUUGUUUUUAUUUCUUUUUGCCGGGUUGGAACAGAUUCUUAGAUUACUAUCUUGUAGGAUCUUAAAUCAUUAAUAUGAUAUUUACGUGAAAAAAAAAAAAAAAAAAAAAAAACAUGAGCUUCUAGUCCAAGUGGUUUAUGCACUAGGUUAAGGUUUCGCCCAUAUAAAAACUAGAACUAGACCCUGGCUACUCGGGUCACAAAGUUCAAUAUGAUUCGUUCACAAUUGUACACGAGGCUAACGCCUUAUCCAUAAUUAAGUCCGCAUAGAAGCUAACUCGAAAUUGGAAAAAAAAAUAGUGGGGAUUAAAAGAAGUACGAACUAUAUAAUGUAGGAAAAUAUGUAAGAUUCAUAAUAAUUAGUAAACCCACCACAUUGUCUCGGGGAAUGGUAAAGAAAAGACUGACGAACACAAAGAAAAGAGAUUCGAUUCUCUUUGGGAAAUGCUUCCAUGCAUCAGUUAUAUCCCCACACGUACGUAUUUUAUGAGUACGAUCAAUCGCGCCCAAGGAUACUCCAAUAAAUCAUAGGAGGAAAACAAGAACAUCUUAUAAAUACUUUUUUUGACUAAGAUCUUAUAAACACUUAAAAAUCAGUUAUUAGCGAAUCCUGGAUCAAAACAUUUAUUUUACUGAUAUUAUAUAACAUGAUUUAAUAUUAAAAGAAAAUUGUGCUAUGAUAACUGAUAAUUUUCAUUUCAUAUUUUCCGCAAUUAUAUUCAUAAUUAAAAAAAUUUUAAACACCAACCUAUUUAGUUUAAGCAGAGUAAUAAAAUGUUUGGUUUAAGCCCUCCUCUAUUACAAAAUUAUAAAAAUCUAAACACAGACGCCACUAAUUAUAGUUCGAGUCUGUUUUUAGAGUCAUGACAACAUGGCAUAACCAUGCGCUUCUGUCUUGUUAUUUAGACCAAUGUGUUACCUUACCCUUUUUUUAGCAACAUGUUCCCUUACCUUUGUAUAUUAUUGUCGCCCAGUUUUAUAAUGGGCUUUCUCUGGCCCAUUAACAAUGAAUGAUUCAACAAUCCGUACGAGUCAAAGUGUCAGACAGUUGGAUUGGCUUUUGAAUCGUUUCUCUCUCCCUACCCUCAGGCAGUUGAGCGGACUUUAGAGAGAACUCGCAGCAGCCACACAGCAAGAGGAAGAGGAAGCUUCUUCCACUGCAACGGUGCGUGCAUUUUUACCCUCUAUAAGUCUUCGUUAACGUUACCUUUAAUCAAUUACUUGCAUCUUACGCAUGUCUUUGUCCAAUUGUCAAAUUGUCCGUACACAUUGUCUGCUUUCUUUACCCUCUAUAAUAAGCCAUUAAUUUAUGUUUUUUUAUCUCAUAUAUUUACAAUGGCUUUUGAUUCUAUCACGCAUCUUCGUCUUCACUUACUAACCCUAGUUUUCAGAACAGAUCCCGUUUGAAAAAGCUGAAGGAAAAUGGCGCUCAAUGGCGUUUUUGAUUUUCUCCAAGAGAAUGUGAAGAAGCCUCGCUUCUGCAAGUCUCUGCCUUUAGGAGAAAACUGGAAGUCUAAAUCAAUGGUAAUUUAGUAUUAGUUCCCAUGUAGUUUUGUGACAAAAAAAAAAAAAAAAAAAAAAUCAUACGAGGAAGCAUCAGCUGCCAUCAACUCUCACACGGCGUUUCAGACCCAACAAAGCGGCUACACCAUGAACCCUCCCCAAUACAAUCCCAACUUCAGAGGCCGUGGUCGCUUUAAUCAAGGUAGAGGUCGUGGAGGUUACUCAAGCAGAGGAAGAGGCUUCUUUCAGCACCAACCACAGCAACAAGGAGGAAACAACUCCCGUCCAACUUGUCAGAUAUGCGGCAGAGUUGGUCACACCGCUCUAAAGUGCUACAAUAGGUUUGACAAUGCAUAUCAAACCACGCAGCCUCCACAAGCUUAUGCGGCCCUUCAAGUUGCUGAUUCAUCAGGCAAGGAAUGGCAUCCUGACUCCGGUGCGACUACACAUGUCACUUCCUCUACAAACAACCUUCAUACUGCUGAGACAUACAAUGGAACUGACGCUGUGAUGGUAGCAGAUGGAACUUACCUCCCAAUCAGUCACAUUGGCUCUGUCACACUCUCAAACACCACAGGUAACAUCUCUCUCAAUGAUGUGCUCGUAUGUCCUGAGAUUCAGAAGUCACUGUUAUCUGUGUCUAAACUCUGUGAUGAUUAUCCAUGUGGUGUUUACUUUGAUGCAUCUAAAGUUUGCGUGAUUGAUCUCAUAACUCAGAGAGUAGUGUCAGAGGGCCCUCGUCGUAAUGGCCUAUAUGUGUUGAAGAGUCAAGAACUAGUUGCGAUGUAUUCAAAUCGGCAGUGUGGAGCUGAUGCAGAAGUUUGGCACCAGAGACUUGGACACUCCAACUACCAGAUUCUUCAACAUCUCAAGAACAACAAGGAGAUAACAGUGAAUAAGAGCAGCAUCAAUCCUAUUUGUGAGCCUUGUCAGAUAGGAAAAUCAUCAAGACUUCAGUUUUUUUCUUCAGACUCUCGUGUUUUGCAUCCCCUAGAUCGAAUACAUUGUGAUCUUUGGGGCCCUGCACCAGUUGUAUCAAACCAGGGGUUCAAAUACUAUGUUAUUUUUGUGGACGACUUCUCUAGAUACACCUGGUUCUAUCCUCUCCGUGCUAAGUCAGAGUUCUUUGCAGUGUUCAAAACGUUUCAAAGACUAGUUGAGAAUGAGUUCAAUACAAAGAUCAAAGUGUUUCAAAGCGAUGGUGGUGGCGAAUUCAUGAACAAUGCCUUCAAACAACACUUCGCUGAGUCAGGAAUAAAACACCUAGUCUCCUGUCCAUACACUCCGCAACAAAACGGAACUGCAGAGAGAAAACACAGACACCUGGUAGAGCUUGGCCUGACGAUGCUCUUUCAAAGUCACGUUCCACUGAAACACUGGGUAGAAGCCUUCUUCUCAUCAGUAUAUAUUGGAAACAGACUACCGAGUGUGGUUCUUCAAAACAAGAGUCCCUACGAAGUGUUGAAGUUGAAGAAACCAGAGUACUCUGCUCUUAGAGUGUUUGGGAGUGCUUGCUAUCCGUGUCUGAGACCUAUAACUGAAAACAAGUUUGAUCCAAGAAGUCUCCAGUGUGUAUUUAUUGGUUAUAAUUCUCAGUACAAAGGCUACAGAUGUCUGCAUCCUCUAAGUGGAAAAGUCUACAUAAGUAGACAUGUGAUAUUCGAUGAAGGGUUAUCUCCGUUCAAACAUCAGUACAAGCAUCUAGUCCCUCAGUACAAGACUCCGUUGAUGCAGGCAUGGCAAUCAUUUCCACUCAGCACUCAGUCAUCAGAUGAUCGUAUCACGAGGUUCUUCACUCCUGAUAUAUCGUCAACUCCACAAGGAAUUCCACAAGCAGAACCAGCAACUGAGAUUCAACAACAAGCAACAGCUGCAGUUGACCCUCCUGCAGAGAUUCCUCCUGUUAAUACUCCAGUGAUUCCUCCUGUGGACAACACUCACACUAUGACGACUAGAGGUAAAGCAGGAAUCCACAAACCAAACUCAAGAUAUGUUCUGCUUGCUUCAAAAUUCUCCACCAAAGAGCCUACGACAAUUGCUGAAGCUAUGGCUCAUCCUGGUUGGAGAAAUGCAGUCAUGGAAGAGAUGGAAAGGAUACACAUGCUAAACACUUGGAGUCUGGUACCAAGAACGCCAGAGAUGAAUGUAAUUGGAUCGCAGUGGCUUUGCAAAACUAAACUUAAACCAAACGGCGAUGUUGAUAAGUUGAAGGUGAGACUGGUAGGGAAAGGAAAUCAUCAAGAAGAAGGGCUCGAUUACUUGGAGACAUUUAGUCCGGUUGUCAGAACGGCAACAAUAAGAAUAGUCCUCAAUGUAGCUAUACAAAAAGGAUGGGAUCUGAAGCAGUUAGAUGUCUCCAACGCCUUUCUUCACGGAGAACUACAAGAACCAGUCUACAUGACUCAACCUCAAGGAUUUGUAGAUGCAGAGAGACCGGAUUAUGUAUGUAAACUGACAAAGGCCUUGUACGGACUGAAGCAAGCUCCGAGAGCAUGGUUUGAUACAUUCAGUGCCUUCCUCAUUGAAUUUGGGUUCAUCUGCAACAAGUCUGAUCCGUCUCUAUUCAUUUAUAAUCGUCAAGAGAAAACGAUGGUGCUGCUUCUGUAUGUUGACGACAUUCUUCUCACGGCUGAUGACAAUAAUCUGAUGGAUACUCUGUUAGAAAAGCUCAACACAAGAUUUUUAAUGAAAGAUCUUGGAUUUCCCUCCUACUUUCUUGGUAUUGAGAUAGAGAAAACUCAUGAUGGGCUGUUUCUUCAUCAGUCAGCCUAUGCGGAUGAUGUGCUUCAUCAAGCAAGUAUGUCAACAUGUAACCCCAUGCCGACACCUCUACCCACAAGCCCUGAUACUCUUGAAGAUGAAGCAUUUCCAGAACCAACAUACUUCAGGAGCAUAGCAGGAAAACUGCAGUAUCUCACCAUAUCAAGACCCGACAUACAGUUCGCUGUAAACUUUGUAUGUCAACGAAUGCAUGCUCCUACAGUAGGAGACUUUGGUUUACUCAAAAGAAUCUUGAGAUAUGUAAAGGGCACUGCGAGGAUGGGGAUGCAUAUACGCAAAGACUCCGACCUAGUGCUUACUGCAUAUUGCGAUAGUGACUGGUCUGGAUGCAGAGAAACAAGAAGAUCCACCACUGGGUUGUGCACACUGCUAGGACCUAAUCUGAUAUCUUGGUCAGCUCGACGUCAAGAUACAGUGUCUGGCUCAUCUACUGAAGCCGAAUACAGAGCUCUCACAACAACAGCUAAGGAGAUUGUGUGGCUGUCAUUUCUUCUCAGGGACCUGGGAGUACAUCAAGAGAACCCAACACUGCUUCAGUGUGAUAAUCUCUCAGCUGUGUAUCUUAGUGCCAAUCCAGCUCUACACAAACGAUCCAAACACUUUGAGAAUGAUUGGCAUUUUAUCAGGGAACAGGUGGCUCUUGGACAUAUUGAAACAAGACACAUACCGGCGGAACUGCAGCUAGCAGACAUAUUCACUAAACCCCUUCCAAGAAGAUCAUUUGAGAGUUUGAGGAGCAAACUUGGCGUUACCUUCCUCCCCACGCCAGGUUUGCGGGGGGAUAUGAGUAACAAAGAUAUGGGCCUGACGAGAGUGGCCCAUCAACAAACAGAAGUCAACAGUAUAGUCCGCCAAGAUGAAGUGAAGAAGAGGACAAAACAGAGUAACGGCUAUGAAAGACUAAAGAAGGAGAUACCGACUCUGAACAGAUUUGAUACCUUAUCCAGACUAGUACAUGAUGAGUCACUAGACAGCCUGUGUGUAUAGUACAAGACCUAGGGUAUUCUAAGCUUAGUAUAUAAACCAAUGUACACUCUCAUUGAGAUCAGCUGAGUUUCAUAAUAAAAGUUAUUCAGUAAAACCUAGUUUCAUCAAAGUUCUAUAGUUUGUAUAUACAAUAGACUUUAUUUAGUAUUGUCCGUUUCUUGUUAGAAAAACGCUCAGAUCUUUCUCUGUUUCAAGAAACUUUGAAGAGAUCUUGUUCUGUUUUUAGCCUUUAUUUUGUUUAAUUAUUCUUGGUUUUAUGUAGAGGAUCAUACCUGAAGAGUUCGUGAGAAGCGCUCAUGGUGCAUUUGAGCACAGGCUGGUGUUCAGUGUUUCUUGGGGCAAUUCGUGGCAAGUCUGGCUCCACAGAGACAAGAAUGGUCUGUUCAUGGAAGAAGAGGACUGGAACGAGUUUGUGGAUGACAACUUGUUAUGCCCUAACGAUAUCUUGCUCUUCACUCAUGUGGACACAAUGUUUACUGAAGUGAGAAUCUACAAAAAAGAUUUGCCCUUCUUCAAACAAGUCAUCUCAGCACCUCAAGUGCUUAACCCUAAGCCAAAAGCCCCUUCCUCUGCCCCUCCUGGCUUUGCUCCCUUUGCUUCUUCUGCCUCUGCCUCGGGUAAGACCAUUAGUUUCAUACUUUCUCAAACUCAAAACUAUUCUGCUCUAACUUUGAUUCUUUUUGUUUAUGUUUUGGCAGCAAGUAGAGCGAGACAGAGCUCUUCCCCUGUCCAAAACCCUGAGCAGUACCUCGUAAACCCCCAAAACCCCUACUUUGUCAAGACGCUGUCCAAAAAGAUCGAUGUUCUGGUAAUAAUAACAUCAGCCUUUUUAGUUUAUGUUUGUUGCCUAUGAAGCUAACACUUUUAUUUUUUUUAAUGUCUGUGGCAAAUAAGUAUGUGAACCAAGAGGUGAUUCAGAGGUAUGGCUUGAAGUUUGGUCCCCAUCUGUCCCUCGUUCAUUAUCUUCUUCCCGGAGAAAAACACGAGGCUGUGAUUAAGAUCUACCGCAACGCUCCUUGUUUCAAUCGCUGGGCAGCUAUAUGUAAGAAGUACAACAAGAAAGAAGGAGACAGUGUUGUUUGUGAGCUAGAACGCUCAAGUGGUGUGGUUACUGCUGUUAGAGUGCACUUCGUUGAUGAAUGAAGAGACCAAGAAGACCUCUCUUGUCUCCUUCCUAUGACUUAAGCUCCCAAUAAGUGUUUACCAAACUUACUAUUUGUAUUGCAACAAUUAAGUAACUGUCGGUGUGAUACUAAUCUAAUUUAGAGCUUUCUUGUGACUAAUGCUUCAUAUAAUCUCUCUUUUGACAACCGUACGUAUCUUUUGAAUAAAACUUAAAUAACACACCAAAAAGACAAUGUUAUUAUAAAAAUAAAGCCCACACACUUCACUUCUUGUAAUAAUUUAAGAUCUUUCUUGUGACUGCUCCUUCCUAUAAGUUAAGUUUCCUAUAAUUGUUUACCAACUUACUAUUUGUAUUGCAACAAUUAAGUAAUUGUCAGUGUGAUACUAGUCUAAUUUAAGAUAUUUCUUGUGGCUAUGCUUCAUAUAAUCUCUCUUUUUACAAUCAUAUUUUUUGAAUAAAAUUAAAAAAGAAACACACCAAAAAGACAAUAUUAUAAAAAUAAAGCCCACACACUUCACUUCUUGUAAUAAUUUAAGAUCUUUCUUGUGACUAUGCUCCAUACUUGGUAUGAAUUUAGAUGAUGUAUUUGUUUUAUUGAUCUUAUAAGUAAAAUGUAUUUCAGUGGAUGAUUUGAAUUUUCUUUAUAUUAAUCAGAUAUGCAUACAAUUUUAUUCUUGUAAAUUUGUUAAAAAAAAACUUUCCAUAAAGGCUUACUACAUACAUAAGAAAAUGGCGACUUUCUUUUACCUUCUCAUACAAGAAAAUACAAUAUAAGCAAAGGCACAUAUAACCCUACUAAACCUUUCCUUUUACAACCAUAUAUUGUGAAUAAAAUCAAAAACACACCAAAAGACAAAAUAUUAUAAAAAAAAUCCCAAACACUUCACUUCAUGUAGUAAGGUUUCACUCAUCUACUUACGAGCGCUUAUAAGCUUGACAUCGUCAAUCACAGGCCCACAUAGAGACGAGAAAUCAUCACUCCUCAUAGCAUAGAAAGUGCUGUAAAACAUAACUCUAGUUCUUGUCGAAACCGCGACAAACCGGAUUGAAGCUCGCUUAAACCCUCCCGUGCCACGUGACUCGUAAGGUACCUUAAGCGUAUCUCUCCCUGCAAAAGCUUCAACCACCAUUGAGCCUUUGCAAGCAUUGUUAGCGUCCCCUACCGCAAAUGAGAGGACAUAAGUCUUCCCAAUGAUGGUCCGAGCAACUUGGGCGAUGGCGCUCUCUUUGCCUGCUACUAGCUCAAUGGCUCGGCGACCUUGUGGGAUUGAGAAGUGUUCUGUGUCUACGUACUUGACGGCUUUGAGAGACUCGACCAUCCAACCGGGUAGGGGAGAGUGGUCGUCUUCUAUGAACGGCGGGAUUAAAACUCCUGUGGUCGAGCCUGGUAGGACUAAUGGACCUUCUUCAAAUCCUCCGUUUUUCAAAAUGUUUUCUGACACAUCAAAACAUACAAUAGUUUCAUAACAUAUGAUAUUAAGUCAAGAUGUAUAUACUACAUUCAUUUUUAUACACAUACAUAAGAGUAGAGGAGUAGACAAUACUUGUGUGUAUUUAUAUUUAAUGACAUAAUAUUUUCACUCCUCUACUCCGUUCAAGAAAUCACUACGCCGUAGGUAGGUUGGGCAAUAACAAUUUUUUCUUUAUUUAUUAUACAUCUUAUAUUAUAUAUUAAGUUUUUGUGUUUUAUUAAAAAUUAAUUUGAUGAGAUAUUAAAAAUAGAUAUACUGGAAAAACUGAAGAAAAAAUGGAUGUUAACUGAUUAAAUCGAUUUAGAUCGAUUUAGAUGGGUAUAGACUGAUUUAAAUGAAUUUGAGCAAUUUAAGUCGGAUUUUUUAAAAUUUGUUAAAUCUUUAGAAUAUUGCUCCUACAUAUGUGCAUAAAAAUGAAAAUGAAUGUAUUAUGUACAUGUAUAACUUGAUAAACUGUUUCCUACUUAUGUCAUGCAUAUAAUAUUUAAGAAUCUGACAAAGCAGAGUAUAUACUUGUACUUACUGUUGGUUGGUCGAGGAGGGUAAAGAGCUUUCAUGGCAAUACCAUCAAUGAGUGGUCCACAAGCUGGAUCCUCUUCUUCACCUGGAUUAUGAAUCACUAUCUCUGCGAUCUCACUCUCAGCCUGAAACGCCCAAGAGUAUAGAUCCCAUCCACUGCUACUAUACACCGUCUGCACUGGAAUCACCCCUGAGUCAGGUGCCACAGAGAUGUUAAGACGUUCGUCUUGAGCACAGGUCCUAGCAGCGCUGAAAGUGAGCGAGUAAUACAUUCCUUUCACCACUUUGAGUCUUUGCUUGAUCGAUGCUUCGUUUCCUAGCCUGACUGCGAAUUUUCCGGCAGGGACAACGAGAAGCAUGUCUCCUUGUGUGUGUCCUGAGCUUAUGUACUCGACGAAACCUGUGAUUUCCCAGUUCGGGAUUGCCAUCCUGUUCAAGACUUCGGUUCCUUUCAUGUCCGAUGGUUUUGGUCCUAGCUCAAAGUCACCGUUUGGUAACAUCCCUGUGAAUUAGCAUAUUACCUUUUUUAUAGCAAUUUAAACAAUAAUUAAUUAGAAAAAGAAAGAAAUAGGCACGUGAAGUGGUCUACAUUAACGUGGAUUAGCUUUCUUGAUGGACCAAACUCAACUUCAUUGAUUGGAUAUGUCCAAAAACUUUAUCGCAGUAUGUUUGUGCCAUAACCAAAGUACAAUUGUAAUUUUAAUCCGUUUAGAGCAAUUUUAUUGGCAAGUUUCUAAAAUAUGGCUUCUUAACUAAAAAUAUCAUUAUUUUAACAUUAAUUUAAUUAUUUAGUUAAAAUUUAUUAUUUUAGAUAAAUUGAACCAAUUAACAUAUGGUAUCUAAUAUUUUAUCCAUUUAGAUUCGUUUUGUUAUCUCUCUUUUAAUCUAAACUAUUAAAACUGAACUACAAUUAGUAUUUAGCCCUGAAUAUUCCUCAAUAAUUACAAGUGAAUGCCACUCUAUUUUUAAUUAACAAAUAAAUUUACAAAAACUAAUAGAUAUAAGUUUCCAUAAAAAUUGUAAAUGAGAUUCCCUAAUAUUUAGCUAUUACAUCAACUUAAAAGAUUGCAAUCUUUCAUUUCCUAAAAGAGUUAUAAUAUAAACGCAAAAAUCCUAAUAUUUAGCUAUUACAUCAAUUAUACCAUUUCAUUAAAGUAUUUGAGCAAAGUUAUGAUUGUUAUGGAUUUUUGUACGUGAAAUUGGUAAAUGUAAACAUAAUUCAUUUUUUAUUAGUUUAUUUCUUUUUAUCAUAAAUAUUUUAGCGUGUGCACUUCUGAAAUACAAAAUACAUACUAAAAUCCUAUAAUAAAAUCAAAAUCAUAUUUAAAUGUAAUUUAUGUUUAAUAAUCUAAAUAAAAAAUCCAUAUUAAAAUCAUAUGUAAAUUUAACUUAUGUUUAAUAAUAAAAAUACAAAAAUCCUUACCAAAAUCAUAUAGUAUACAUUAUUUAUCAUUUCAAAAUUUUAAAUUUCAUAGUUACAUCCAAAUUUUCAAUUUUAAUAAUAUAUUUCUUAUAAAAUUAAUGCUAAAAAUAUAUAUAAUUAAAUGAAAACUAUCCAACUUAUGUUUAAAAAAAUAUUUAUUUAUUUGAUUAUUUCAAAUAGUUAAAGUGCUAACACUAUAUACUACAAUCAUAUAAAAAAUACUAAUCCAUAUUGUUGUUCAUUUUCUUAUAUAUGGUAGAUUUAAUUAUUUACAAAUGAAAAAAAAUUUACUCACAUAAAAAUGAAAAAAAAAACAUAGCAUAUUGUUUUUUUAGAUUUUGCUUUAUUAGUAUACAAUAAAUGAGAAAUAAAAUGAAAAUUUGAAACAAAUAAAUUAUAUUUACAAAUGCAAAUUUUACAAUUAUUAUAUUUAUAAAUGACUGAAUUUACAAUUUUUAUAUUUAGUAUGAUUAUUGUUAUUGUUAUUUUCCAUUAUUCAGGUAAAACAAUACUGGUGUAUAUUAAAUGAAUAUAAUAUUGCGGGUUAAAUUCUAGUUUUCUUUAAUUUUAAUGUUAAUACCCAUUGGAUAUCAAAGAUAUAUCUAUCCUAAAAUAAUCAUGAUUAAAAACUUAGACAAUAAUGACAAUUAACUAUAGUUAAUUUUAUUUAUAUCAGUAUAUAUGAAUUAGUAUAAGGGUGUACGUAUAGGUGUAGAAAUAAAGGUUACCGUCACGGAAGGAGACACCGGCAGAAUUGGCGGUGGUGAUGAGAAGAAGGAAGAGAGACACGACGGUGACGCCUCCCAUUGUAAAGGAGCGCCUGAGAGAAUGAGACGAGUGUUUAGUGUACAAAGCUAAGUGAUUAACAUAGAGACUUGGGGCAGUUGCUUAUAAGGGGCUGGAGCUAUCAAAGUGCCCUCGGAGAUUGCUCUAUAUCACGAGUGUGUGCCACUGUCCCACGUGGGGUUGUGACCUCACUCCUUUGCAGAGAUUUGCUAUCUUAGAGCAGCAUUAACGCAUAGGGGAGAGAAGGUGGGUUCUAAUUUUUUUUUUAUUAUUUUUUUUUUGUUUUGUCCGAUUUAAAAAAAAAAAAAAAAAUUAAAAGUGAAACAAUCGCGGGCUACCACGUGUCAGUGGGGCCCGUGAACAGUUAAAAAACUUCACCAGAGUCGCCUCUUACAGAAGAGGAAGAAGAUGUGAGUUUUCUGAUUUUUGUGGACCCUCCACCCCUUACAAUUCUCUAAGAGUCAGCGAUAAUGCUGCUCUUAUUGACAUAUUUGUGGUACUUCCAGAAUUAAAACCCCUAAAACUAAUAAAAUAACAAAUUAGGUUAAUAUUUUUAUUCUUAAUAUUUAUCUUAUAGUCUCCUAUGACUCCUAUCUCGGUGAGGCGGUGACUAGGAAAGACUGAAGACUGACAACCAAAGAAAAAAACACUAAAUGUAAUUAUUUAACGAUAAUCUCUUCUUAUCCACAUGCAUUUACACAUGUAAACAACACUCAAGUCUAAGUCUAAGAUUGUGAAAAUUAUUGAGAUGUUUUUUCAGUAAUUUUACAUCUGAAUCUACAUGACAUACCUGAUUAAUUAUGAUAACUGUAGAGAAGGCUACUCUUGUCGUUUUGAUAGAAUGUCGGUGGAGAUACUACGUAGGAGAAUCGUUUAUCGUGGCUUGGCGUGGCUUGGCGUGGCAUGGCAUGUGUUACACCAAAAACAAAGUUCACAAGAGUUUUAUUUUUCUUUGUUUUGAACAUUUUCUAAACUCUUUUGUCUUCUUUGAUUCGUGUUUUCGAGAGUUUCUUUUUGUUGUAUUUUAGAAUUGCAGAAAUGAAAAAUGUGUAAGCUAUGAAUGCGGUUUCCAAAGUCGGCUUCAGAAGUUCAGAAUUGCGUCCAGUACUGAUUGCGUCUUAUCAGGCCAAGAAAUUUGCGUGCCAAUUCAAUUAUUUCUAACUUCAAAAGGGAUGUACUUCUGAUCUAAAUUAUGCAAGAUAAAUUAUUAUUAAUCACAUAAUAUGAUAAUACUAAUAAACUUUGUUAAGUCCUAAUUGGUUUGUUUAAGCCAUCUGUGAAGACAAAGGGUAAAGUGUAAUGUAGAAUUUUAAAAACGUAGGUUUGUUUCAGUAAAUGGAUGUGGAAAUGACUCAGGUAUAUAAGGGUAGCAGAAGAUAAAAUUUACUUGUAUUCCUUAUAUCCAACAAACCUUUUAUGGUUGAUAUUCACUUCUUAGCGUCUCUCUUACAGUUUCUUCAAGAUUACAAAACCUUUGAAAACCAAUGCAAGAUUGUAGAAGUUAGUGAAACACUCUAAACUUGUAACUUGGAUCUUGAAAUAUCACGUGUAUACUAGCAAUUACAUAACAAACAAGGUCAAGAAGUCAUAAACAUCUAGCGCAAAAGUCUGACGUAGAUUUAACUUUCACAAAUUACAAAUAAUUGGGCGGUCAGUACCUAACAACUGACUGACUGAGCAACCAAAAAUUUACUAGGACUUUAAGAGCAAGUUCGAAUUAAUAUUAAAAUGUUGAAAUCUGAAUACAAAGCAUAGUGCGAGCUAGAGGGUCGAGAAUCGUUAGGAAACGUGGGUGGGGCACUUAUAAUAAAAAGAAGAGGGGGCGCGAUGAGAGCGCAAAAGGCAAAAUCAAGCAUUUGUCGGGCCUCAUCACUCCUGUCCAUACACACACAAACUAUCCCUAACCUACCUUUUAGUAUUAUUAUAUAAGGUUAAUCAUAUAGUAAAGAUAAAAAUGUUUAACGUCUGUUAUGUCCACAUUAUUAUUAAAUCAAUGAAUCUAACUCUUCGUAGUUCAUAAACCAAAGUUCACAAUGUAGAUAGCUUUAUAUUGAACCAUAACCUUUAACAAAAGUUCUCAAUAAUUGACAACUGUGAUAAAAGACUAGGAGGAAGUAACUCACAUUUAAUUCAACAUUUCAUUUUAUUUUUAAGUAAUUCAUUAAUGAUUUAGGCCCCUGUGCUAAUGUGACUCACAUGGAAAUGUCUUCAAUAAAACUCCAAAUCGUUUUCUCCUGACCAAUCUAUUAAAUAUAACACCUCUUAUCUUAUUAUUCUUGUAUACCACCGACUUAUUAACCGGACCGUGCAAACAUCGCUGUACAUGAUUCAUGUAAAAAACGUUUAUUGUGGCGUCUUUGAGAAACUUUGUAAACAUAUACUUAACCUCAUAUUUUGGUUGUACCAACUACCAUGAACAUCUUCCCUUCUUGCAAUACAUAGCUCAAUAAAACUUAUUAUACUGUACGUGACACAUAUAUAUCAUACAACCAUAUACGUGCGUAAACAUGAGCCGUACAUAGUCAAGCAUAGCAAACUGUGUGGCCGAUUGGAGCCUAAAAAGUAAUAAUACAGAGAGAUGACUUGGAUCUGUUUGGUACCAUCCCAUGUUUUAAGCAUUGUAGAAUAAGAGUAACUAGGAUAAGAUCCGCGCCUUGCGCGGAAUUAAGUUAUUAUUUUUAUUAUAUUUUGGAGAAUGAAACAAUAGUUUGGCUUCAUUUGGAUUAGGAGUGUUCAAUCCAGAUAUCAGAUUGGUUUCGGUUCGGUUCGGUUUUUUUCGGUAUUUUGGUUAGUAAAAUAUAACUACUAUUCUAAAUUCAUAUUUACUUUGACUUUAAUCUUUCACAUACUUUUGAAAGAUUUCAACUGGACAACUAAAUUGAUCAGCCAAUCUUGUUGCUUUAAAUCAAUAGUAUAUAUAUAUAUAUUAUUUAGUUUGAAUAUUUAUUAAAUAAAAAUUCAUAUGCGUUAUAUUUUAUGAUCAUUUGUAACUUAUUAUAACAAAAAAAUAAUCUAUUGAUCACAAAAUUUUCAGAGUGGGAAUAUUCAAAUUUCUAAUAAUAUAUAGACNNNNNNNNNNNNNNNNNNNNNNNNNNNNNNNNNNNNNNNNNNNNNNNNNNNNNNNNNNNNNNNNNNNNNNNNNNNNNNNNNNNNNNNNNNNNNNNNNNNNNNNNNNNNNNNNNNNNNNNNNNNNNNNNNNNNNNNNNNNNNNNNNNNNNNNNNNNNNNNNNNNNNNNNNNNNNNNNNNNNNNNNNNNNNNNNNNNNNNNNNNNNNNNNNNNNNNNNNNNNNNNNNNNNNNNNNNNNNNNNNNNNNNNNNNNNNNNNNNNNNNNNNNNNNNNNNNNNNNNNNNNNNNNNNNNNNNNNNNNNNNNNNNNNNNNNNNNNNNNNNNNNNNNNNNNNNNNNNNNNNNNNNNNNNNNNNNNNNNNNNNNNNNNNNNNNNNNNNNNNNNNNNNNNNNNNNNNNNNNNNNNNNNNNNNNNNNNNNNNNNNNNNNNNNNNNNNNNNNNNNNNNNNNNNNNNNNNNNNNNNNNNNNNNNNNNNNNNNNNNNNNNNNNNNNNNNNNNNNNNNNNNNNNNNNNNNNNNNNNNNNNNNNNNNNNNNNNNNNNNNNNNNNNNNNNNNNNNNNNNNNNNNNNNNNNNNNNNNNNNNNNNNNAAUAUAUAUAUAUAUAUUUAUUUUAUUAUUAAAUGAUAUUUUUUACUCAUAUGGUUUUAAAAUCAUGUGUAUCUUCUUAUAAUAAAAAUGUUAAACCAUUGAUCAUUAAUUUUUAACAUAAUAAUUUUAAUAGUUUUAGUCAUUUAUUGUCGUUUUUAAAAAUUCAAAAUAUAACAUAUACGAAAAAAUCUAAAUUUUACUUUUAUAGCUAAUUUGAUUGUUUAAUUUAUUUUAAUAAUAUAAAAUUAAACAAAAAAUGAUGGAGAAGAUAUAAAUUGUUAUCAAAUCUUUAUUAUUAAAAUCAUUAAUUGUCAUAUAUAUAUUAGUCAUUUAUGGUAAUUCCGUAGGUUUUAUUUAAGGAAAGAAAAUAGUAUAUCAUAUCAUUAUAUCAUAUAGUUUGACCAACUUAUGUAUCUAACAACAUAUAAAAAUCGAAUGUGGACCUACUUAUUUUUCAAUUGAAUGUAAUUGACUACCUAAUGGAGUGCCACCUAUGCAUUGGGGCCUAUUUUAAUUAAUACAAAAUUGAGGUUACAUCUUUUCAAAUGUUUCUCAAUUAAUAUAUAGGGGAUAUAACCUCUGCAUACAUUUGCGUUGGAGCCACGCUAUUUUUUUAAUUUUACCCGGAAUGGAAAAAGAAUCCAGGGACAUCUGCUCCAAACGGUGUCGUUUUGCAGAAACGUUCUCCUUUCAGCUUGGCCUUGCUGCUCUCGCCACAGAUUUGUGACAUUUUUCAAAAAGAAAAAUAACGAAUAGUGAAACAUAUAAGACUUUUCAAAGCGUUACGCGUGAUUUGGUCUUUUAUGUGAAAAAGGCAAGUCGUUGUCAUCUUCUUCUUCCUCAAACUCAGAAUCGAAAUGGGAAACUGUAUCUCGCCUUUCACCGGAGGACUUGCUACAACGUCAGGUAUUUGUUGUAUAUUUACUAUGCAUAUGUAAAUGUAAUAGACGCUUUUGUUUAGUUCUUAGACAUAUCCUAUAAUACACCCACAGGUGUGAAAGUCUUCACCAUCGCGGAGCUGAAGAAAGCGACCAAGGUUUUUGGAGAUCAGGAUAUGAUAAUAGAAGAGAGCUUCGGAGGAGUAGUAAGGGGAUACAUCGAUCCCAAGACUUUAUCUCCUUCCAAGGAAGGGCUUGGCAUAGCCGUCGUCGUUAAGAUGUGUGUCUUGCGAAACGGAUACGUUUUGAAAGAGUGGCUUGUUGUAAGUCAUUCUGAUUUACAAGACAGAUUCAUAUAUUUACAUAACUCACCAUGUUGUGUGCUAAAAACUUAGAGCUGAGAUUGUAGGUUGAUUUUGACUUUCUACGACUCAAAUCUCAUCCAUGUUUAGUGAGGCUCAUUGGCUACGGUUCGAAUCGCGAUUACUUAUUCCUAGUUUUUGAAUAUUUUCCAAACGGAAGCUUAGAGCGUCACAUCUAUAGAGGUAAGGAAGUUGAUGAAGUUUCUUCGUCUCUCUUUUGUUGGUUAUUUUGGUUGGUAAUCCGAAAAGACUUGAAUUAGAAAUUUGGAUAAUGAUCCAAUAGUGUACAAUGGAAUAUUUUGAUUUUAUUCUAAGUUUUGGUUAGACAAAAUCUUUUUUUGUUUUUUUUUUUUGCUAAAAUGUAAAUAUCAUAUAAUGAAAAGAAGAUUUUACAAGAAAGAUCUUAUGUUUGAACCAUCCUGGCAAAAAGAGAAAAAACAAGAUGGAUCAUUGAGAUUGCAACCUACAAGGAACAUUAUCUCAGCCACAUCAACAUGAGUGAAUGAAAAUGUUUUCUACUUCUUCUUCUUGCUGAUAUAAUGUUCCUCAAGUCCUUGUCAAUGGCAUAAAAGACAGAUUCAAGAGAGAUCGAAAUCUGGUUAUGCAUUAGGUUGUUUCUUUGUUUCCAAAGAUGGAAGACUGUAGUUUAUGAAGCCAGCUUCCGGAGGAGAGUCAGCUUCUUGCCCGGCGACGAUCGGAUCCAUGACAGAAGCUCCGACCAGUUGGUGAGCAAUGUUGAAGGCGAUUGGCAUCUUAGCAGCACCUCCUUCCAAACUUCAUGACUGUACUCGCAUGCCAACAUGAGAUGGUCUCUGGUUUCAUCACACCUUGAACAGAAGCCACAUUUAGGAGAAAUAAGCAUUCCCCACCCUGCAAGUCUAGCUCUAGUUGGGAGCCUGUCGUAAUUCGCCACCCACAUGGUGAAACCUAGCUUUGGUAUAGCUCCCUUGAACCAUACCACAUCUACCCAAUCCUUCUUUUCCUGUCUCGGUCGCAGCACCUCCCACGUGCUUGAUGACCUGAAAUCACGCAGAGGAGAAUCACCAGCAACCCAAUCAAGUAUAUCAUGAACAUCAGGGGGUAAAGGAAGAGUUAUAGUAGUUAAAAAAGCAUGUAAAUCAACUUCCUGCUGGGAUCUUGGAUGUGGUAAUGACCAUGUAGUUCCUAAGAUGGCAUCAGCCACCAUGGCGUCCUCUCUGAUGCGCAAGGCACGAGGUCCAGCCCGUCCCAGUACCGUGGAGAGCUGACCUAAGGGAGUCCAAACAUCAUACCAAAAGCUAGUAGAUAAACCAUUUCCUAAAGUCAUUUUGCAAAACUGAAGGGCCAAAGGACGAAGAUCAAGAAGUUUUCUCCAAGCCCAAGAGUCAUUUGCUGAAGGCUCAAGUUUCCAGAAUGAGACCUCUGCCAAGUGAGUGUGCCAGUGCCAGUCAACCCACAAGGAGGGCGACCUCGAAAGCAAUAGCCAGAUGAAUUUCAAGCAUAACACUUGGUUCCAGACCGCGAAACUUCUCAAACCUAGUCCCCCUUCGUCUUUAGGGAGACAAACCGUUGACCAAGCUACCUUUGCUAUACCUCUUGUAUCAAUAUUUCCCGACCAAAGAAAUCGAGAGCAGAGCGAUUCAACCUCCCUAAUACACCUUUUAGGAAGAACAAAGGCAGAUAUCCAGAAAUUAACUGUGCCAAAAAUUACUGUCUUGAGAAGCAGCAGUCUACCAGCGAAGGAGAGAAGCUUGGCUGACCAUGACUUGAAGCUUUUGGUUAUCUUAGAUAUCAAGGGAGAGUACUCAGAGAUUUUCAGCUUGCGGCUCAUCAAAGGAAGCCCGAGAUACCUGAUUGGGAAUUUACCCGUAGAGAAUCCAUAGCCCACAAUGGCAUUGGAUUCGCUUUGGUCUACUCCUGAGGUGAAGAGCUCGGUCUUGGCUUUGUUCAUGUGCAGUCCCGACCACGAGGCGAAAUCGUCGAGGCACUCUGCAAUGCCAUGUAGGCUGUUACUUGUUCCGUCAAAGAAAACCAUGACGUCGUCGGCGAACAUUAGGUGAGAGAUCUUUAGUUGAUCAGUUCCGGGAUGAUAACCGAUGCUUCCCACCUCAUAGCGUGAUAAAAGUAACCGAGACAGACACUCCAUAGCAAGCACAAAGAGAUAGGGAGAGAGGGGAUCACCCUGUCUUAUCCCUUUAGUGCUUUUAAAGAACCCUCCAGAGGCUCCAUUGACAGACACGGAGAAGGAAGCCGUAGACAAACAUUCUGCUAUCAAACAAAUAUAUGACUCCGGAAUGGCUAAGGCACGAAGAGAAGAUAGGAUGAAGUCCCACCUAACACAGUCAAAAGCUUUCCUCAGGUCCACUUUCAACAUUCCACGAGGCGAGAGAGCCUGAGUAUUAUAACCUUUAACAAGAUCAGUCGCUAGAAGGACAUUCUCCGCUAGAAGUCGUCCAGGAAGAAACGCCGACUGAGACUUGGAUACCAUAAGGGGAAGGAUCUCCUUCAAUCUAGAGGCCAAAAGCUUAGAUAUCACUUUAUAAACCGUGUUCAAGCAAGAGAUUGGUCUAAAAUCUGUUGUGAGAGACGCAUUUGGCUUCUUGGGAAUGAGGACUAGAUUUGCUGAGUUCCACUGUUUCAAAAGGCAACCCAACUCGAAGAAUUCCAAUACCGCAUCAAAGUUUGACUCUUGUUAUAGGACAAGAUACAAGAUAAACAAAAAAAAAAUCUUUAUACAUUUCUUCCAAGAUUUUGAUUAUCUUUUAACAACGAAUCUCUAUCUCCAAUUAACAAUUAGUUUCUAUUUUUUUUUAUUUGCCAAUGCCACCUACUCUUUAUAUAAAGAGUUAAGAAUUGUAAAGGUUAGCACCAAUAAUUGUAAUGGUCGAUUGAGUUGCAAUGGUUGCACCAAAAAUUAUAAUAUCAUCAGUAUUAAAAUUGCAAUAAUUGAUUCCUAAAAGUUGCAAUCACUAAAAGUAUGGUUGGUUUCCAGCAGUUGCAAUAUUUCGGUUUAUACAAUUGUAAUCAUUCAUUUAAACACUCGUAAUGGUUCUUAUAAAAGAUUACAACAAUUCACGUAAAUAUAUAACAUUUCUGCCUUAAUCAUUUGUAUAAUCAUCAAAGAGAGUCGUCCAAAGUCAUUGCCGUGGGAGAUUAGGCUUAAGGUUUCCAUAGGCGCGGCUCAGGGUCUCGCCUUCUUGCACUCUAGGAAGAGCACCGGCCUCUACCGUGGAAAUCUCACAGCUUCAAAAAUCCUGCUCGACCCGGUAUGCAUUCGCCUGACUUUUUCUUGAAUUACUUGCUCAUUGCCUUAAAAGUUGCAUGUGUGGGAUGUGUAGGACUUGAAAAGCUAGACGCUGCUCUCAGUGAACGGUCGCAUAUUCCCACGAACAAAAAUAAACCAGCUAGAUUUCACUAUGCACCUCCCGAAUACAUUUUCUCAGGCAACAAUCCUCUGCUUCUUUAUCCUCUAGAAAGUUACACUAACUUUUAACAUUUUGCAAUUACUAACUGCAGGAACGAUCCACAUACCACAUGGCGGGGGAUGUGUACAGUUUUGGUGUUAUACUACUCGAGAUCUUAACUGGUCUCGAUAAUCGGCGCAUAAUCCUAGCUAUGCCAUACGAGAUGACAAGGACAACAUUCCAGAGAUGAUUAAUCCAGAUUUAGAGAAUAGCUAUCCUCUUGAAGAUGGGGUGCGUAUGUGCGAGAUUAUAAAACAAUGCCUAGCAGAAGACCCUAAGAAACGACCAUCCAUGCAACAAGUGCUAGAUCAUUUGAAUGCUAUAGCCAAGAUAUGAGGAGAAAAACUAAUGUAUAAAUUAUAAUUGCUGUAAACACAUUCUCCACUGUAAUGUAGACCAACUUCUAAAAAUAAAACUAAUGUUUAUAAUGUUCAUUAACGAUUUAGGUUCAUGUUCCAAUGUGAGUCACAUGGAAACGUCUUCAAUAGAAAUCCAUAUCGUUUAGUUGACAAAGAAAAAAAGAAAUCCAUAUCGUUUUCUACUGACGACUCUAUUAAAUAUAACACCUUAACUUAUUUUUCUUGUUUACAACAGACUUAAUUCACCGGACCCUGCAAAAUACCAUUCCACAUGAUUCAUGUUAAAAAGGUGUAAUGUAGCAUUACUUUGUAAAGAUAGACACUUUACCUCCUUUUUUGGCUGUACUAACUACCAGUCCAUAGAUGAUAGAUCAAUAAAGCUUAUAAUACAUUACACAUCAAUAUCAUACAACCUUAGACGUGCAUAAACAUGGUCCGUACAUAGCCAGACAAAGCAAAUUGUGUGGCAAAUUGACGCGUAAAAAGUAAUAGAACAGAGAGAUGCUUAGGAUCUGUUUGUUUAAGAGCCCAGAGCCCCUUCCUAUUAUAGGACAAAAAGAGACUAACAUGCUUAAGGAAUGGUUCUCUGGUAGAGAGGUAGAGCUCCCAAAGCCUCUCUCUCAGCUCUCUCCCGCUUCACCUGCACAUGGACAUAAAUCCCCAUGUAAGGACUUUUCUAUACUAUUCCUCUUAACACUAAAAAGAAAACCAAAGUUUAUGAUAUGAUUCCAUUAGAGUUUUAAUUAAUUUAAUAAAACAUUAUAUGGAGAAAACACACUCAGUUUUGUUUAUUCAUCUAGCACCACAAAGUGUGAAUAGUUGUGCAAAUCAAAUAAACAUCUGGUGGUUUUAAGGCAAAACAAAAGUUGGACUAGUUCUGUUUUUGUUCUAACAAGAAAUUGCAUGUAUAAUUAAAUGAAAACUAUCCAACUUAUGUUUAAAAAAAUAUUUAUUUAUUUGAUUAUUUCAAAUAGUUAAAGUGCUAACACUAUAUACUACAAUCAUAUAAAAAAUACUAAUCCAUAUUGUUGUUCAUUUUCUUAUAUAUGGUAGAUUUAAUUAUUUACAAAUGAAAAAAACUUUACUCACCUAAAAAUGAAACAACACAUAGCAUAGGACUAUCUCUAAGCUCUGUCUCAAUUUGUUUGGAACCAUACCUGGAGAUCAUCUGGGAGGUACUCAUGUUUCAUCGAGAGGUCCAUCGCACGCUUAAGGCGCUGGUUCCGAGCAUCAACAACCUCUCUAGGCAACCGGUUAAGCGCUUCCUUGAUGUCCAGAUCGUACAUAGGGUCGUAGAGAUCGUCGUAUCUAAGCCCUAAUAUUCAGUAACAUCAAGAAUCAGAGACAAUAAGUCAACAGAAGAACUAGGGUUCGUUCCACCGGAACAGAGAGAGGUAUACCGUAUUUGCGGAGGCGGUUAGAGACGGACUUCAUAUGCAGACGAGCCAAGAAGUUCUUCUUCGGAUCUACUAAUCUCUGGAGAAACGAAGACGCCAUAUCUUCUUCUGACUUCUCUGCUAUACGUUGGCGUUGGAGACACGUUUUCUUUUUAUUUUACCCGGGAAUGAAGAAGAAGGGUCGAGAGACAUCUAUCAAACGGCGUCGUUUCGGUGAAACAUAUUCUCUCACCUUAGAUUUGCGACACUUUUCAAAAAGGAAUGCGAAACGUGGAUCAUAGGUUGGCUUUGAAUAGGUUAGUUACAUUGACUUACCAAGAUGGAAACUAACUUGCUAGUUUUUUUUAAUUACUUGGUCGGAUAUGUAUCAUGUGUGUAAAAAUAAGUUAAACCGUCUUCUUCCUCAAACUCAUAAAUUAAUGAAAUCUUUUGUUGUAUACAAGACAUCUCUGUGUAUUUACUCUGUAUUCUGAUGUUUUUUUUUUUUUUUGGUAAAACUGUAUACUGAUGUUAUCAUGUAAUAGAAGCUAUCCUAUAUAGAAAAGAAGCUAUCCUAUUAUUCUUCCUCAAACUCAUAAAUUAAUGAAAUCUUUUUUUUGUAUACAAGACAUCUCUGUGUAUUUACUCUGUAUUCUGAUGUUUUUUUUUUUUGGUAAAACUGUAUACUGAUGUUAUCAUGUAAUAGAAGCUAUCCUAUAUAGAAAAGAAGCUAAUCCUAUUAUAUACAGCCACAAGCAUAGUCGGUAAAGAUGACAAACCCCAUAAAACAUCCGGAUAGAGUCUCAUUUUUAUAGGUCCAAACUUUUUUUAUUGAAAGGUGAACUUUAUUAGAAAUAGAUAUUUUCGCAUUUUUGCUUGAAAUGUUACAUCAUGUCAAACCCCAGUUUGGAAACGCGCUACGUGCUAGUCGGGAAGUUGGGUUAGACCUAGCGACUAAAGAGAAAAUCGGAAAUUAAUUAGAAAUUAUGCGGGGCAGAAUUUUUAGAUUGUUUACUAUGUUAUAAAACAUAUUAAUCUUUAAUUAUGUAUAUAAAAUUAAUAAAUUUUCAUGUUUAAGAUUGUAUAAAACACAUAAAUAGAAUAUAUAAACUUAAUAUAAUAUAUUUUUCAUCAAAAUUAUGAAUAUAAAUGAUAUUUAUAAAAUUUUAGAUCAAAUAAAUAAAUAAAAAUAUUACUAAAAAGAAAAUAGAUUAGGCGGCUAAGCGGUCAUUUAGACGGUCAAGACGAAUAAAAUCGGAUAUCCGAUUUUUAAACCGAUUUGGCAUAAAUUAGAACAGAAAAGUGACGCGUAGCACCCAUGCGGCCGCGUAUGCGACUAGACGGCCGAUUUUUAGAACAGGGUGUCAAACUAAUAAAUUUAAAUCAUCUUCACAUCCCUUAUUGUUAGAGGAGAAACAAAAUAGAUAUUUUCGCAAUAAAUAUUAUAUAAGUUUCCUAAGAAGAAACCUAAGAAUAUAUUAGACAAUGACCCAGCAACAGAAUCUAGGAUGACAAAGACCUAAGAAUAUUAAAUCCGGCUUUAUAUUGUACGAUAAGAAGUCUAUUAUGGUUUUCACCAAUCUCUUGUUUCUCUCUUAUACUCUCUCAAUCUCCCUCAAUCUCCCAGCUUUAAGGUAAUAUCCGCUUCCCUGUGAGAUGCCGUUUGAAGUGUUUUCUGUUAUUUGUUAGGCGGUUGUCACAUAUAUGAAUUCAUUACUAUGUAAUGAGCAAAUGAUGAUACACGAACAGCUUGAAUCUCAUUCUGCUGUUAGGUCUCUAAGUUCAAGGAACAAUUAUAGAGCUAACAAAUUAUAGAGGUAACACUCCAGUGGCCUAAAAACGACAGCAGAUCAUAUACAAAUAGUAGUAUAGUUACUUAGAAUCGACUAUGGGAUAGCAUUUUUACAUUUCCCAGAUCAUAUUCUCUUAUUAUUUGCUCAUAUUUUUCUUAUAAUUUGAUUACAUUUCACUUAAAUUAUCAAUUUUUUUUUAUUUUUUCUAUUUCAUUUAAAUAAGUAAUUUUUCUUCUAUCAUUUUAAUACUCCCUCAGUUUCAUUAUAAAUGUACAUUUUUCAUGGAAACUGAAAAAAUUAUAUAAUAGACUAAUAUAAUUCUAUUUAAUGUAUGAUUAAUUAAAUGCAAAUGAUCUAAAUAAAAAUCUAUUGGUUAUUCAAAAGGGCAACAAGUAGAUUUAAUAUACAAAUUUACAUUGAAAUUGCAGAAUGACACUUAUUUUGAAACAAAAUCAAAAACCUAAAAUGGCACUUAUUAUGAAAACAAAAGGAGUAUCAAUUAUGUCCGACAAACACAAUCGUUGCAUCCGUACCUAAAAUAUGUUUAGAUUGGUUAAUUGACUGGUUUGAAUGAAUUCUUAACCUUGUGAUUGGUUAUUCAAAAGGGUAAACGAUAGAUGUAAUAUACAAGUUUACAUUGAAAUCGUAGAAUGACACUUACUUUAAAAUAAAAUCAAAAACCUAAAGUGACACUUAUUAUGAAACAGAAGGUAUCAAUUAUGUCUCACAAAACACAAUUGUUGCAUCCACACCUAUAGUUUUAGACUUAUUAGACAUAUAUAUAUAUAUAUAUANNNNNNNNNNNNNNNNNNNNNNNNNNNNNNNNNNNNNNNNNNNNNNNNNNNNNNNNNNNNNNNNNNNNNNNNNNNNNNNNNNNNNNNNNNNNNNNNNNNNNNNNNNNNNNNNNNNNNNNNNNNNNNNNNNNNNNNNNNNNNNNNNNNNNNNNNNNNNNNNNNNNNNNNNNNNNNNNNNNNNNNNNNNNNNNNNNNNNNNNNNNNNAUAUAAUUUUAAUUAAAUAUAUACAUAUAGUUUUUUUUUUUAGACAAAUUGGACAUCUAACAUCGUGACACAAAAGUGGACCUUCCAUGCGAACAAAAAAUCACACCUAUUAACCUUCUUUAUUUGUAUACCAGGUAGAGACUUGUGCAGAGUGAUAUUAAUAUUAUAUUUACAAAAACAUAUCUUUCUUUAAUUAUAGUUUCUAAAUUUUCAAUAUAAAACUUUAAAUAUUAAAACUAAAUUACAUGGAAUAAUAUGUAAAACGGUCUAAUGAUUGGGAUGAAAUGCAAAUAUAGGCUGAUGUUUAUAUAGAACCAAUGGCGUCGAAAAAAAAAGAAUAUAGAAGAACCAAUUAGUAGAACCAUUAAUUCCAAAAAAAAAUUGCUAUAAAAUUGGGUAUAUUCGAAGAAAUUUAAAAGCGAACUAGAGUUUGACCCGCACGUCCGUGCGGAUGUUUGUUCUUAUAGUUAUAUAUAUCAAUAUUUUUCUAUAGUUUUUGUUAGGGUAUAUUUUUUACAUUUAUCAGUAUUAAAUAUUUGUUUAAUAUAACAUUUAUACACCAAAUUUUUUAUUUAUAUGAGUAAUUUAUUUAUUUAUCUAACUGUCAAUUAGAUUAGUGUUUAUAAUUUGUCUUAGUAGAUUCGCAUUGGCAUAUAGUUAUAUAAAAUAUACAUAGAAUAACAUAUUUAAACAAACAUUUUUAUUUAAUAUUUUUUCAAGUUGAUUAUUUACAUGGGUUUGUAAAGUUUUAUUAUUAGUGAUAGAUAUUAAGGAAUAGACUAUAAUACUAUAAACUAGAUCUCAAUCCGUGCAACCGCGUGGGUGUUUGUUUACAGUUAUAUAUAUGUAAAUAUUUAUUUUAGAUCACUAGUUGUAUACAUUUUUUUAAAAGUUGAUCAUAUAUUAAAUGUUUAUAUAAAUAUUUUGGAUACAAUAAUUUAAUAAAUUUAUAGUUUAUAUGUUGUAAUUAAUCCAUUGUUUAAAACCGUCACAUGUAUGUGUUGUUGUUUAUUAUAUAUUUAUCUUAUUAUAUUUGUAAUUAAUUAUUAAAUAAAUUAAUAUAUGGAUCAAACAAUAUAUUUGAAAUUUUUAUUUAAUUUAUGCUAAAUUCUGACCUGUUUUUCAAGGCUGAAUUUUAUUUUAGCAAUAUGUUUUACUUUUAUUCAUUUUAGAUAAUAUAUUGUUGUAUAAAGAAAAAUCUUAAUUUUAUACAUGUAUUAUAUCGUUUGCUAAUGUCAAGUCGUUAUGUCAUUUUAUUAUAUUUUUUAAAAUGAAUAUUUUAACAUGAUUGAUUAUGAUUAUAAAAUAGAUAAAAAAGGAUAGAAGUUUUCUUUUUAUUAACAAUAAUUGAAUAUAUAUUAAUGCAUAAUAAUAGUUCAUUGCUAAUUAUAAAAUUAAUGAAAAUAUUUACAUAAAAAUUUGAAAAUUAAAAUAUUGUUAAAAUAUUUAUCAACAGAUUUUUUUUAGAAUAAACUUUAAAUAUAUGUAUCUUAUAUAUUAAAAAUUAAAUUACCAUACAUAUAUU
This 84598-nucleotide long non-coding RNA is filed under the name Brassica napus (rape). RNAcentral's name for it is "long non-coding RNA (BNAP_LNC012388)". The record is from RNAcentral. Lineage: Eukaryota; Viridiplantae; Streptophyta; Magnoliopsida; Brassicales; Brassicaceae.